UUAGUCAAAAGAUAAAAUAGUAAAGGCCAUUUUGUUUUAUUUUUCCAUAAUAUUAUACAAAUAGUCACCAUGUAUAUAUACAUGGCACUGACAUGAUUGUGAAGGCCUACACACUUUCUAAUGGUUCUACUGGCUAUCAAAUUUUUUUACUAUAAUAGUAAUACAGGUAAUGCAGCAGCAAGUAUCACACUAUUAUUUAAUUUUGAUAGCCUUAAUUACCACCACAGCUUGAUGAAGAAGCAAAGGCAGUUAUGCCUCUAACUCAAAUGAUGCCUUCAUUGUGGGUGAACGACUCACGGGAUCAAUUUCAAUAGAUGCAUUGUAUCCAAACUUUGUAACUUUAAAUUUUGGUUUUCCUCUUUUCUCAAGGUUGGUUUUGAUUUGCCCCCAGUGAACAGGUUGUCUCUGGAUAUCAGUAUAGACCUGCAGCAUGCAUGCAAAUGGCAUGCAAAUGGUCAUAGAUUAAAUGAUUAUAUAUACGCAUUCUAACUAGUUAAUUAAUGAUAAGAUUGAAUUGAAUGCAACAAAUACCUUGCUGUUCUCAUCUAGUGGGUUGCUCCAGGCAACAACCCACUUGGUUCCAUCACGUCGCCUGUACACAAGACCAGCAACUGAACCAUGACUAUCAGCAUCAUCAGUCACUGAUUCAUGUGUAAACUCACUCGAAUCUCCAUCUUCAAUUAUUUCUGGGAAAUCCGCAUAAUGAGAGCCUUGCCAAACUUUCUUGUCAGUCAAGGUUAGAGCUUCGCUGGAAGAGUUCCAAAGCUUGCCGUUUGUGCAUUGUUGAGCUCUUUUCAUUUGAAAAUUAGCCAUGGUAGCUUUGUAUGUGCUUUGGUUAGCUAAAGUUUGUUUUGGUUGUGUUAUGCUUCAAAUAUUGCAAUACACACCUACUUAUAUACUAGUUUACACCAUGCAUGCAUUGUCCAUAACAACAACGUUUAUGCGCAUGAAAUUAUUUGACUUCAUUCACAUUAAAACUUUUUUAUAUUCUUUUUCCCUUUUUUUAUUCAUAUUCUUGAUGUGUCUUUUCACUUUUAAGUACAAAUUCUUUUCAAUUAAAGAAAUAUUUUUAAAGUAUUUGGAUUUUUUUGAUAAAGUAUUAUUUUUUAAAUUAAAUAAUUAACAAUAUAAAGGUAAACUACUUUCAUUAUGAUCUAAACUAUUAGUAAGUUUAUGUUUGGUUAUUCAAUUUAAAAAAAACAAGCUACAAAUUGAAUAUUAAACUAUUCAAAAAGUUUAUUUAAGUCAAUGAGCUAUUAAAGUUGUUGUUGUAUGACCUUCUCUAUUUGCACCACCUGUAUCUAUCAAAAGUUCUCAUUCCCCUUCUCUUCUACAAUUCACUUUUUUCUCAAGAAAUAACUUUUAACCUCGUGAAUCUGCGAACCAAAAUUCAAACAAAUUUUUUCUCCCAUCACUGACAUUGAUAGUCAAAUCAACUUGGAUAUAAAAUAUGUUCUACUACUUGUUAAUGGUUUUUGAUCCACCAUACCGAUCAUUGAAUCAUUGCUUGAAGCUUGCUAGCAGGACUUUAAAAUAAAACUUUAAUAACCUAGUGACUUCAAUAAAAACUUUCAAAUAGUUCAAUGACCAUUUUAUAAUUAUUUAAAAUUGAAUAACUAAAACAUAAAUUUACUAAUAAUUUAAUAUGAAUAAAAUAUAAUUGUUGGGGACUCAAACUAAACUCACAUCACAUAAUUAAAUAAAUAAUUUCAGCGGAUGUAUUACAUAAAAAAAUUAGUACAUAAUAAAAAAAGUCAUCUCAAAAUUAAAAGCUUCAAAAACAUACUUAAAUCUUAAUUAUAUAUUUUUAAGAAUUAUUGAAAUAAUUUUCUUUUACUAACUAGUGUCAGUUUCUAGUACUUACACAACUCCAUGUACAUCAUUAUCCUGGUAACCUAAUAGUCACCAAAGCAUAAGUAUACAUACAACUAGCGUGACUUAAACCCAAGCCACAACUGGAAUGAUGAACACCUUUAACUAUCAAGCUAUUACAUGAGAUUCAUAUUAAAUUUUAAUAUGUUAAUGAUAUGUUUGAAAUAUUUUUUAUAUUGAUACUGUAUUUGUAUUAAUAAUUAAAUAACUUUAAAUGUAAUUUAAUUUUAAUAACAUUAACCAUUUUUCCAUUAAACUUUGAAUCCCUUUGAAAAAAAUAGUGAUUUGUGUAUUAAGCAUAAAUUUUUGUUGGAAAAAAAGGGAAUAAAACUUUGCAUUUGAGAUGCUGAAAGGCUAAGGUAUUAAAGCAAUGAGACUUUUAGUAUGGAGCUGAAUUUUGUUAUAUUAUAAAAUAUGCUUUAAGUUUCAAGACAUUAUUAGUGGAGUUAGAUGUGUUUAGGUGACACUUUCAUGAUUUUGACAAGUUAAUUACUUGUUAUAUGCAAUGUUUUGUUUUUCAGUUGAUCAAUGAAUUAUUUUUCAUCAAAAUUCUUCUUGUUUCUGUUUCAAUCCAAGCUAUAUUUUCUUGUUCUUCUAGCUCGUGUUUCUUAUUUUGUUUAGCAAGUCACUAUUGCUUAAAGCUUAAGACUUUGCUGUAAUUGCUUAGUGAUAACUCUCAACUCCAAUAAUUUGUAUCGGGAGCUGAUUUCUUAGAUGACCUUUCUCUUUUCUACUUUAAAAAACAAUGUUUUCAUCAAGUUUCUCUCCAGCACCACCACCAGUAUUCAAUAGUGAAGCCUACCACAUUUGGGUAGUCAAACUGAAAACCUACCUGCAGGCAUUUGACUUUUGGGAAGCUAUCAAUGCUGAUGUUAAACCACCACCCUUGAGAGCUAACCCAUGGUAGCUCAAAUCAGGCAGCACUUUGAUGACAAAGCCAAGAGGUAUAAGGCAAUGUCAUGCAUCCAAAACAGUGUGUCAGACUUGAUUUUCACAAGGAUCAUGGCCUGUGAGACUCUAAAACAGGCUUGGGACAAGAUUAAAGAAGAGUUUCAAUGCACUGAAAAAACAAGACAACAACAAAUUUUAAACUUAAGAAGGGAUUUUGAAAACCUAAAGAUGAAUGAGUCAGAGAUAGUUAAACAAUACUCAGACAGGAUUAUGGCUAUUGUGAACAGCAUCAGAUUGCUUAGAGACCAAUUCAGUGAAGCCAGAAUAGUAGAGAAGGUUAUUUCAACCUUACCAGAGAGAUAUGAAGCCAAAAUCUCUUCCUUGGAAGACUCAAGAGGUCUGUCAAACAUCUCUUUGACUGAACUAGUCAAUGCCCUCUAUGCUCAAGAACAAAGAAGAGCUAGCAGACAGGAUGAGCAUCAAGAAGGUACCUUUUAAGCCAAGAGCAAACCAACAUCGAGCUCCUUUGGCUAUAAAGGGAAGAAAACUUGGUCAAACAAGCCUAGAAGAGAUGGAGCAAGAAGAAGGUAUCCACAUUGCUCUCUUUGUAAAAGGAUUAGCCAUUCAGAAGCAAACUGCUAGUAUAGACCUGAUGUGCAGUGUAAAAUUUGCAAACAAAUGGGCCAUGUUGAGAAAGUGUGCAAGAACAAAAACUAACAAAAGGAACAUCAAACUCAGCAGCCUAAAACAGAAGCUCAAAUGGGAGAAGAGAGUUGUAGUCAGGAAGAACAAGUAUUUUUUGUCUCUUGCUCAGCUACCAAAAGAAAAGCCACAAAAGGGUGGCUGAUUGAUAGUGGUUGCACAAACCACAUGACACCUGAUGCUGCUAUUUUCAAGAGCAUUGAUAGAAGCUUUAACACUAGAGUAAAAGUGGACAAUGGACAUUACAUUAAAGAAGAAAGCAAGGAGAUGUGCUGAUUGACACUCCUUCAAGUACCAAACUUGUUUCUAAUGUUCUAUUAGUACCUGAAAUUGAUAGAAAUUCUAAGUAUUGCUCAGAUUUUUGAAAAGGGAUACUCUGUAGUAUUCAAAGGCAAAGAGUGCCUGAUUAGUGAUCCAAGUGGAUCCAAUCUCAUGUCAGUAACCAUGACUGAUAGAAGCUUUCUUGUUGAUUGAAACAAGAUUUCAGUUAGUGCCUACACAACUGCAUUAGAUGAAUCCAAACUGUGGCACAAAAGGUUUGGCCAUGUCAAUUAUAAGUCUUUACUGCACUUGUCUAAAGAAGACUUUCUUGAAAAUUUCACAAAAACAGUUUGAAAACAGGAUGUUUGUGAAGUGUGUCAGCUAAGAAAGCAAGCUAGACUACCAUUUCCUACUAAUAAGGCCUAGAGGGCCUCUAAAAAAUUGCAAUUUGUCCACACUGAUAUGUGCGGCCCUAUAAAGACUGAAUCUUUGAAUGGCAGCAAGUAUUUCAUCAUUUUCAUUGAUAACUACUUAAGAUUCUGUUGGGGCUAUUUUCUCAAGUAUAAAUCAGAAGUAGCUUCAGUGUUUUCAAAGUUCAAGGCUAUAACAGAAACUCAGUCAUGGUGCAAGCUUAAGACACCAAGGUCAAACAAUAGGACAGAAUACACCUCAGCAGUGUUUCAGACCUUUUGUGAGGAAUCAGGCAUUGAACACCAACUCACCAACACCUAUACACCUCAGCAGAAUGGUGUUAGUGAGAGAAAGAAUCGAACUCUGAUGGAUAUGGCCAGAUGCUUGUGUUUGAAAGGAAUUUGCCAAAAAGCUUUUGGGCUGAGGUAGUUAGUACUGCAAUAUACCUUCAAAACAGGCUACCAACUAAACCACUGCUUGAAAAAACACCAUUUGAAGCUUGGUUUGGGUUCAAACCAUCAGUUUCUCACUUGAAGGUCUUUGGUUGCAUAUGUUAUGCACAUAUUCCUGUAGUCAAGAGGGACAAAUUGGAAAAGAAGUCUCAGCCUAACAUUCUAGUUGGCUAUAGCAAUGUCAAGAAGGGCUAUGAGAUUCUGGAUCCUACAACUUACAAAGUCUUUUUGAGUAGAGAUGUUGUGUUUGAUGAGAGAUCAAGCUAGAAUUGGGAUAAAAGUGAACCAGAAUGUGCUGGUCAAGACUUGGUGACAGGGCAAACCGAAGCUGAUAAAAAAUGUCCUAAGAUGGACAUAUAUCAUGAGCCUGUUAGGGGAACUAGACCACUAAGUGAAAUAUAUGAGAGGGAAAAUGUAACUAUUAUUGAGCCAAUUUGUUUUGAAGAAGCUCAAGCUCAAGAAGGCUAAAGGCAAUCCAUGCUUGAUGAAACGAGCAUGAUUCACAAAAACCAGACCUUAGAGUUAGUUGCAAGACUAGUUCACAAGAAGGUCAUUGGAGUAAAAUAGGUGUUUCAAGCCAAGCAUAAUACUAAUGGAACUUUGAACAAGCUAAAAGCAAGGUUGGUUGUGAAGGGGUUUUGUCAGAAAUAUGGGAUUGACUACCUUGAAACAUUUGCACCAAUGGCAAGGCUUGAUAUAAUCAGAUUAUUGGUUGCAUUAGCUGCUCAAAGGUAAUGGAAAAUACAUCAACAUGACGUAAAAUCUAUCUUCCUCAAUGGAUUUCUUGAUGAGGAGAUAUAUGUUGAACAACCAGAAGGUUUUAAAGUUGCUGGUGAAGAAGACAAAGUUUACAAGCUAAAAAAGGCCUUCUAUGGCUUAAAAUAGGCACUAAGGGCAUGGUAUGACAGAAUUGACACGUAUCUAGCAAGCUUGGAGUUCGAGAGAAGCAUUAGUGAGCAAACACUAUAUGUAAAAAAGGAAGGUGAUGAAACACAGCUCAUAGUCUCCUUGUAUGUGAAUGACUUACUGGUAAUAGUAGGAAAUAACGCUAUGCUGUCUGAAUUUAAAAGCAAGAUGGAGACUGUGUUUGAAAUGUCAGAUUUGGGUGAAAUGUCCUGCUUCCUUGGCAUGGAAGUGUCUUCGACUCAACAAUGAAUUUUCUUAAGCCAAAAGGCAUUUGCCUUGAAAAUUCUGAAUAAAUUCUCCAUGCAAAAUUGCAAGGCAACUAGCACACCAGUUACUGUUGGAGAAAAAUUAUCAAGCCAAUGUGAUUUCGAGAAAAUGAAUGAAUCAACCUAUAGGAGCCUAGUGGGAUGUUUGCUUUACUUAACAGCCACAAGGGCAGGCAUAAUGUAUGCAGUUAGUCUCAUAUCUAGGUUCAUGCACUGUUGCAAUGUGAACUACUUUCAAGCUACAAAGAGAGUCCUCAAGUAUAUUAAAGGCACUCUGAGCUUUGGGAUGAUGUUUACCUAGGUUGACAGCAUGAAGCUCCUUGGUUUUGCUAACAGUGACUAGGCAGGAUUGAUAGAUGACAUGAAAAGCACCUUAGGGUAUCUGUUUACCCUUAGUUCAGCUGUUUUCUAUUGGAGAUCAAAGAAACAGUACAUUGUAGCUCAAUCAAUAGCUGAAGCAGAAUAUGUAACAGCUGCAGAGUAAUUUGGUUAAGGAAGAUCAUGGUAGAUAUAAACUUGCAUCAAAGAGAAGCAACAUAGAUCAAAUGUGACAACCAAUCUGCUGUUGCAAUUGCAAAGAAUCCAGUGUUUCAUGGGAAAACAAAGCAUUUUAAGAUCAAGUUGCAUUUUGUUAGGGAAAUGGAACAAUCUCAAGAAAUCAGACUGGUUUAUUGCAGUUCUGAAGAUCAGUUAGCAGAUUUCUUGACAAAGCAUCUUUGUGUGUCAAGGUUCAAGAAUUUGAGAGCCAAGUUGGGAGUUUGCAGCAUGGAAGCCAAGGAGGACUAUUAGAGGUUGGCUUACAUGCAGCUCUUGAGAUCGGGCCAUGCAAUUAGCAGCUAAAGCACAUGCAGCUGUCAUUUUGAUGUUUUUGAUGAUGUCUUGUUUUAGUUACAAUUGAACUAAGUUUGUAAUGAAUUUGUUGUAAUUUGGUGCUGAUAGAUUUGAUAAAUCAACUUAACCAAGCGUGCAAGCAAUGUUUUAUAAGUUUCAAGACAUUGUUAGUAGAGUUAGGUGUGUUUAGGUGACACUUUCAUGAUUUUGACAAAUUAAUUACUUGUUAUAUGUAAUGUUUGGUGUUUCAGUUGAUCAAUGAAUCACUUUUUAUCAAAAUUCUUGUUUCUGCUUUAAUCCAAGCUAUCUUUUCUUGUUCUUCUAGCCCGUGUUUCUUCUUUUGUUCAGCAAGUCACUAUUGCUUAAAGCUUAAGACUUUGCUGUAAUUGCUUAGUGAUAAGUCUCAAGUCCAACACAUGGUUUGUUGGUGGGAGUUUAUUUGUUGUCAGGUUUUCUAUGUUAUGGUUCCUGGUUUGUUGUUUGAUGAUUCGAUGGAUGGACGCAGAAGUUGGAGAAAAGAUAGAGUAUAAAUUGAGACAAAAGAUAAAAUAGUAAAGGCCAUUCUGUUUUAUUUUUCCAUAAUAUUAUACAAACAGUCAACCAUGUAUAUACACAUAGCACUGACAUGAUUGUGAAGGCCUACACACUUUCUAAUGGUUGUACUGGCUAUCAAAAUUUAUUACCAUAACAGUAGUAAAGGUAAUGCAGCAGCAGGCAGCACAUUAUUAUUUAAUUUUGAUAGCCUUAGUUACCAGCAUAGCUUGAUGAAGAAGCAAAGGCAGUUAUGCCUCUAACUCAAAUGAUGCCUUCAUUGUGGGUGAACGACUCACGGGAUCAAUUUCAAUAGAUGCAAUGUACCCAAACUUUGUAACUUUAAAUUUUGGUUUUCCUCUUUUCUCAAGGUUGGUUUUGAUUUGCCCCCAGUGAAUAGGUUGCCUUUGGAUAUCAGUAUAGACCUGCAGCAUGCACGCAAAUGGCAUGCAAAUGGUCAUAGAUUAAAUGAUUAUAUAUACGCAUUCUAACUAGUUAAUUAAUGAUAAGAUUGAAUUGAAUGCAACAAAUACCUUGCUGUUCUCAUCUAGUGGGUUGCUCCAGGCAACAACCCACUUGGUUCCAUCACGUCGCCUGUACACAAGACCAGCAACUGAACCAUGACUAUCAGCAUCAUCAGUCACUGAUUCAUGUGUAAACUCACUCGAAUCUCCAUCUUCAAUUAUUUCUGGGAAAUCCGCAUAAUGAGAGCCUUGCCAAACUUUCUUGUCAGUCAAGGUUAGAGCUUCGCUGGAAGAGUUCCAAAGCUUGCCGUUUGUGCAUUGUUGAGCUCUUUUCAUUUGAAAAUUAGCCAUGGUAGCUUUGUAUGUGCUUUGGUUAGCUAAAGUUUGUUUUGGUUGUGUUAUGCUUCAAAUAUUGCAAUACACACCUACUUAUAUACUAGUUUACACCAUGCAUGCAUUGUCCAUAACAACAACGUUUAUGCGCAUGAAAUUAUUUGACUUCAUUCACAUUAAAACUUUUUUAUAUUCUUUUUCCCUUUUUUUAUUCAUAUUCUUGAUGUGUCUUUUCACUUUUAAGUACAAAUUCUUGUCAAUUAAAGAAAUAUUUUUAAAGUAUUUGGAUUUUUUUGAUAAAGUAUUAUUUUUUAAAUUAAAUAAUUAACAAUAUAAAGGUAAACUACUUCCAUUAUGAUCUAAACUAUUAGUAAGUUUAUGUUUUGGUUACUCAAUUUAAAAAAACAAACUACAAAUUGAAUAUUAAACUAUUCAAAAAUUUUAUUUAAGUCACUGAGCUAUUAAAGUUAUUGUUGUAUGGCCUUCUCUAUUUGCACCACCUGUAUCUAUCAAAAGUUCUCAUUCCCCUUCUCUUCUACAAUUCACUUUCUUCUCAAGAAAUAACUUUUAACCUCGUGAAUCUGCGAACCAAAAUUCAAACAAAUUUUUUCUCCCAUCACUGACAUUGAUAGUCAAAUCAACUUGGAUCUAAAAUAUGUUCUACUACUUGUCAAUGGUUUUUGAUCCACCAUACCGAUCAUUAAAUCAUUACUUGAAGCUUGCUAGCAGGACUUUAAAAUAAAACUUUAAUAACCUAGUGACUUCAAUAAAAACUUUCAAAUAGUUCAAUGACCAUUUUAUAAUUAUUUAAAAUUGAAUAAAUAAAAGUUAAAUUUACUAAUAAUUUAAUAUGAAUAAAAUAUAAUUGUUGGGGACUCAAACUAAACUCACAUCACAUAAUUAAAUAAAUAAUUUCAGCGGAUGUAUUACAUAAAAAAAUUAGUACAUAAUAAAAAAAGUCAUCUCAAAAUUAAAAACUUCAAAAAUAUACUUAAAUCUUAAUUAUAUAUUUUUAAGAAUUAUUGAAAUAAUUUUCUUUUACUAACUAGUGUCAGUUGCUAGUACUUACACAACUCCAUGUACAUCAUUAUCCUGGUAACCUAAUAGUCACCAAAGCAUAAGUAUACAUAUAACUAGCGCGACUUAAACUCAAGCUACAAUUGAGAUGAAUACCUUUAACCAUCAAGCUAUUAUAUGAGAUUCAUAUUAAAUUUUAAUAUGUUAAUGAUAUGUUUGAAAUAUUUUUUAUAUUGAUACUGUAUUCAUAUUAAUAAUUAAAUAACUUUAAAUGUAAUUUAAUUUUAAUAACAUCAACCAUUUUUUCAUUAAACUUUGAAUCCCUUUGAAAAAAUAGUGAUUUGUGUAUUAAGCAUAAAUUUUUUGUUGGAAAAAAAGGGAAUAAAUUUUUUGUUGGAAAAAAAGGAAAAAAACUUUGCAUUUGAGAUGCUGAAAGGCUAAGGUAUUAAAGCAAUGAGACUUUUAGUAUGGAAAUGAAUUUUGUUAUAUUAUAAAAUAUGCUUGAAUGGAAAGUUUUGUUUUUAUUUUCAUUAUAACAAACUAAAAUGAAUUAAUAUAUUAACUAAUAAACAUGGCUAUCAAAUUGUUAAUUGAUUGGACCACUAGAGGUUCUUCUGCAUUCUUAUGAUGUGAUUCUGGUGUUUAGCUUUGUCUGAUGUUACUCCUUUGUUAUGUUGGAUCCUUGGAAUUUGCCUCAUGAUUUUUCUCAAACGCAUAAUAAAUUUUACUUAAUUUUUCGUCAAUUUAUAUUAAAAUAGAUAAAUAAAAGUUAAUAUCUGUUAACUUUGCUGAUAUCACACAUACGUGAAUGACGCAUUAACAAUAAAUUAAUAUUUUAAAAUUUCAAAAUUUAAAAUUAUUAAAAAAGUAUAUAAUAUAUUUUUAAUCUUUUAAAAAUUAAUCAAUUGCUAACGUAGUAUACAUGUGGCAGUCCAUGUAGACUGACGUUAACAAAUAAUAUAAGUUCAAAAAAUAAAAUAGACAAAAAUUUAAGUAGAAAUUUAAAAUAAUUUUUUUAUAAAAUUAAAAAGUCAAAUAAAUAAUUAAAAAAAACACGUAGAAACAUACAAGUAACAAUUUCAACAUUGAAGUUAUCUCUACAGAAAAUACGGAUCUGUAUAUUCUUAUUCAACCAUGAAUUCAAUAUAUAAUUUUUAACUUUAAAUAUGAGAUAAUAUUUGAUGCAUUGUUAGUUUUUAAGUUUUAUGUACCAUCAAUUAAUAAUAUGAAACAUCAUUACUGGUAUAAAAUAAAAAGUAUUGAAAGACUUGAAAAUAAAUACAUUUAAUUUUAUUUUUUUAUUUAAACAUAAUUAAAUAUUAGCUAUAAUUUUUAUUGAUCUUUCGGAUUUUAGAUUCCAAUUUCUUUUGGGUUUUUAUUGGAAAAUAUGGACAUCACAUACAUAAUAAGGAUAAUUGAUAGGUUAGCCUAAAUUAAAACUGAUCUAAUUUGGUUAGAAUUUUAUUGGGUUUUAAUUAUUAAAUAAAGUAUGGGUUAAAUAUGUGUAGAUACUCUAGUAAUUGAGUUCUAAUCAACUUCUAAUUAGAAUUUGAUUAGAAUUAAUAUGCCAAGGUCAUAAAUAUUAGGGUUAUGGUUCCCAAAUUAUACACAAUAUAUCUUUUCUAAUAUCUCAUCAUUAGGAAAGAGAGAGUAGAUAUUUUCUGAAUUUCUUGUGGAUCAAAUCCUCAAGAUAUGGUAAAAAUUUAAGGAAUUCAUGGAUUCAAGUAUGCUUCCGCAUGUAGUUUUGUUCUUGAUUUAUUCUUGAUGAUUUGACAUGAUAGAUCCUGGUUUAUUCAGUUUUAUUUUAGAUUUAUUUUAUAAAUCUAAUAAGUGGCAUCCGAGCCUCGUCAUGUUGACUCAUUAAGAACGAAUUAAUUCUCUAUUUUUUUUGAUUCAUUUAUUUUUUAGAUUUUAUGAAUUUAUUAUCUCAAUUAUAAACAUUAAAUCUUUUAAAUUUAUAUUAAAUAUUUUAGGGUUUGAAAUAGAAAUUGGGCAAGUGAUAAUGCUUAUGAGGAUUUAUGUUGAAAUUUUAGGGUUUUAAAUUUUUUUUAUGAAUUUGGUUUUUGAGGAAAUUGUUGUGUGAAUCAAAUUAUAGUUUAUUUAUAUUUUUAGAUUAAAGUUUUGUUAAAAGUUGAUAUUGAUGCUUGCGUUUCAUUACGAAAUCAGACACAUUGAUUUUUCUUUAAUAAUUAUGCAUCUAUUUAAAAUAUAUAUAUAGAAAUUGAUAUAUGUUUCGUUUAUAUAUAUAUAUAUAAUAUGCAUGCUUUAAUUGGUUUAAUGCAUGUUGUUUUGGAAAAUUAUAUAAAUAUAUAUGAUUAUCUUUUAAUUUGAUUGAAAGAUGAAAUUAAGGUAAAUACUUUGAAACAAAUAAAUUCAGAUUUUAGCUUUUAAUUAAGGAUGUCUACUAUUUUAAAUAAAUUAGUUGAAAUAAAAUGCCACCAAAAUGACAUCUUUUGUGUAGAUUAGUUUAUUUGAAAUAUUAAGAUGAUUAUAUGUUUUUAUGAUUCAUGCGUUUAUUGAUUGACCCAAAGUUAAAUUAAUAUUUGACAGAAUUUCAACGACAUAUGUGGUGAUAAAUGUGUGACAAUUUUAAGGUAUUUUAUGUGAGCAAUAAGUUAGUCCAAAGAUUAAUUCACGGUUUGACAUAAUUUAUUGUCAAUGUUUGAUUGCUACAACAAGAGUACCGCUUACUGUUAAUAUUACUGUCCAAAGCUUUGAUAUUAAUGUUGUGUUUGGUAUCUUGUGAUGGGAUUAGUCAUUAUCUUGAAUUUAUUAUUUACUUAUGAAUAUUGAUUUAAGCUUGUUUUUGUUCUAUAUUUAGCUAAUUCAUCUUCUACUGCCACAAUAUCUGCUAAUAUAAAUUCUAUACCUAUGCUUAAUAGGACUAAUUUUAAGGAAUGAAAAAGGAACUUACUUAAAGUGCUUGGUUGUAUAGACAUAGACCUUACACUAAGGGAAGAACAAUCUGCACCUCUCACUGUGGAAAGCACCCCUGGUGUUAAGAGGGAUUUUGAGAGGUGGGAUCGUUCAAAUCGCAAGAGUCUAAUGAUCAUGAAACACAGCAUUUUAGAAGCUUUUAAGGGCACAUAAUCUGAAAGAUUACUCAGGCCAAGGGUUUCAUUGAUGAAAUUGAAAAAUCUUUUGCUAAAAAUGAUAAGAUUUAGAUGACAUCACUUCUGACUUCUUUGAUGUUUAUGAAGUAUAAAGGUCAAGGAAACGUAAGGGAGUACAUUAUGAAGAUGUUCCAUACUGCUUCAAGACUUAAGACACUUAAGAUCAAACUUUCUGAGGAAUUGUUUUUUCUUAUGGUUUUGGUAUCGCUUCCUGCCCAGUUUAAUCAAUUUAAAAUUAGUUAUAACUGUCAAAAGGAGAAAUGGAUCCUAAAUGAGUUCAUUUCUCAUUGUGUGCAAGAGGAAGAAAGGUUGAAGGAUGAUAAGUCUAAAAGUGUUCAUUUGGCCAAUGCCCCUAAAGAUAAGGGCAAUAAAAGAAAAUAUCAGAAUAAAGCUGCUAAAGGUCUAGCUCAAAAGAAACAACAAGAAGCUAUAGAGAGUUGUUUCUUUUGUAACAAGUCUGGACACGUAAAGAAAGAUUGUACCAAAUAUCAUGCUUGGCAUGCAAAAAAAGGUAUAAUUCUUAAUUUGGUCUAUACUGAGAUUAAUUUAGCUUUAAUACCUAGAAACACUUGGUGGAUAGAUUCUAGUGCUACUACUCACAUAAGUUUUUCUAUGUAGGGUUGCCUAAGUUACUGAAAGCCAAGUGAUGGUGAAAGACACAUCUUUGUGGGCGAUGGAAAAUCAGUAGAAGUGGAAGUGAUUGGGAAUUUUAGGUUGUUACUAGGAACUGGUUUUUAUUUGGAUUUAAAAGACACUUUUAUUGUACCGUCAUUUAGACAGAAUUUAGUUUCUAUUUCUUCGUUGGACAAAUUUGGAUAUUAUUGUUCAUUCAAAAACAAUCAAUUAAUUUGUCUUUAAAUUCAAAUGUUAUUGGAACUAGUUAUUUAAAUACUUAUGACAACCUUUAUUUUCUAGAAACAGUUGCAUCCUAGAAUGAAACCUUGCAUGUGGAAUCACAUGGUAUUAAACACAAAUUAAAUAAGGAAAACUCAUCAUCAUUAUGGCAUAGGUGCUUAGGUCAUAUCUCAAAAGUUAGAUUUGGAUACCUUGUGUUUGAUGGAAUUUUAGAGUCCCUUGACUUCACAGACUUUGAUGUAUGUGUUGAUUGCAUUAAGGGAAAAUAGACCAAAACCAAGAGAUUAGGUGCCAACAGAUCUUCAGACGUCUUAGAAUUAAUUUAUACAGAUAUUUGUGGGUCAUUCCCUAUGGCAUCCUAGAAUGGUCAAUAAUAUUUCAUAACAUUGAUAGACGAUUAACCACGUUAUGGGUACCUAUAUCUCAUUCAUGAGAAAUCUUAGUCUUUGGACAUGUUCAAAGCUUAUAAAGCUAAAAUUGAGAAUCAACUCAAAAAAAGGACUAAAAAUGUCAGAUUAAAUCGUGGUGGUGAGUACUACGGUAGAUAUGAUGGCUUAGGAGAACAAUGUCUAGGACCAUUUGCGAAAUUCCUAGAGAAAUGCAGUAUUGUCCCACAGUACACCAUGCUAGGAUCAUCUAGUAUGCCUGGUGUAGCUGAAAGAUGAAACAUGACUCUUAAGGAUAUGGUAAAGAGCAUGAUUGCUCAUUCUACCUUACCUGAGUCCCUCUGGGGAGAAGCAUUAAAGAUAGCAGCUUACAUUCUAAAUAGAGUACCGAAUAAAGCAGUUGCAAAAACACCUUAUGAGCUUUGGACAGGUCAAAAACCUAGCCUAAAGCACUUUCACACUUUGGGAUGUCUAUCUGAGGCAAGGCCUUAUAGGCUACAUGAAAAGAAAUUGGACUCCAAAACAGUAAGCAACUACUUUAUUGGUUAUUCUGAGCGAUCUAGGGGCUAUAAAUUUUAUGAUCCCAUAAUAAGGAAUAUUUUUGAGAUUGGAACUACAACAUUUUUUGAGGAUGUUGAGUUCGGGGAGAAAUAAGGUUAGAGACAUUGCUUUUGAGGAAGAAUUGGGUUCUAACUCAAUUCCUACUAUCUUUUUUUAUGAUUUUUAGGUUCUUAUACCUAUCAUUGAUCAAGAAGUGAAUCUAGAACCUCUAUAAGACAAUGUUGAACAACUCCUCAUUCAAAAUGAGGUGAUUGUUCCAGAAGAACAAACUCAACAACCUCAAGAACAAGUGUCAUUAAGUAGGUCUACAAGAGAAAGGAGAAAUGUUAUUCCAGAUGAUUAUAUUGUAUUUCUCUAAGAACAUGAGGAUGAUAAUGGAAUGAUGGAAGAUGAUACAAUCAACUUUCAUCAAGCCAUGAAAAGUUCUAAUUCUCAAAAGUGGAUUGAUGCCAUGAAAGAUGAGUAUAAAUCUAUGCAAGACAAUAAAGUUAGGGAACUUGUCCCAUUACUUGAAGGUGCAAAACCAAUUGGUUGUAAAUGGAUAUUUAAAACCAAGAGGGAUACAAACGGUAAUGUGGAGAGGUAUAAGGUGCGUCUUGUAGCUAAACGAUAUACUCAGAAACAAGUUAUUGAUUUUACAGAGACUUUUUCUCUAGUUUCAUCAAAACACUCCUUCAGGAUAAUCAUGGCGCUUGUUGCUCAUUUUGAUCUUUAGUUAUAUCAGAUGGAUGUUAAGACUACGUUUCUUAAUGGCAACAUUGAAAAAAUAAUUUAUAUGGUGCAACCAGAAAAUUUUGAGUCGGAAGAUUCAAAGAAUAUGGUUUACAAAUUGACAAAAUCCAUUUAUGGACUCAAACAAGCUUCCUUUUUAUGGUACCACAAGUUUCAUCAAAUAAUUAUUUCGUUCGAUUUUGAGAUGAAUAUUGCUAAUAAUUGUGUGUAUCACAAAUUCAAUGGGAGUAAGUACAUCUUUCUGGUUCUUUAUGUUGAUGACAUUUUGCUUGCCGCUAAUGAUAUAGGCUUAUUGCACAAAACCAAGAGGUUUUUAUCUAAGCAUUUUGAGAUGAAAGAUCUUAGGGACGCCACUUUUGUUUUAGGAAUUCAAAUACAUCGAGAUCGAUCUUGAGGUAUUCUUGGAUUAUCACAAAAGAUUUAUAUCAAUAAAGUACUCAAAAGGUUUGGCAUGCGGAGUUUUAGACCAAGUGACACCCCUGUUGCUAAAGGAGACAAAUUUAGUCUUACUCAAUGCCCUAAAAGUAACCUUGAAAUUCGGGAAAUGAAAAAGAUUCCCUAUGCAUCAACUAUUAGGAGUUUAAUGUAUGCUCAAGUAUGUACGCGUCCGGACAUUGCAUACAUUUUUGGGAUGUUAGGCAGAUAUUUAAGCAACCCUGGUAUAGACCAUUGGAUAGUAUCCAAAAGGGUUAUGAGAUAUCUUCAGAGAACAAAAUAUUACAUGCUUACUUAUAAGAGAUCAGAUUUUUUGGAGGUUGUAGGGUAUUCUGAUUCUGAUUUUGUCGGGUGCCAAGAUAGUAGGAAAUCUACAUCAGGCUAUAUUUACCUAUUAGCUGAAGGAGCUAUAUCUUGGAAAAGUGUCAAACAGACACUUGUAGCUUCGUCCACUAUGCAGUAGAGUUUGUAGCAUGCUAUGAGGCAUCAAACCAUGGAAUAUGGUUGCGAAACUUUGUCACAGGGAUGCACAUUUUGGAGAAUGUAGAAACAACACUCAAAUUAUUUUAUGACAAUAAGUCAGCAGGGCUGUACAUGAGUUCAUCUAAGUCAAAGCAUAUUAACAAAAGUUUCCAUCUCUUUAUUCAUUUUUAUAGGCUUUACUUUUGUUAGGAUUUGUCUUUCAACAAAAUCAAUUUCAUAUGGUAAUGUUACUUCAUGCUUUUUCCUAUUCCAAAAGGCAUUAGAGAUGUUAGAAUAUAUUGUUGACUCGAUUUCUGUUUUGAUUUGAUUUAUUCUUUUUUGAUCUUUUGUUUUUUCUAAUUGUUCAUUUAAUUUUUUUAAAACAUAUUUCUUCUUUAAGAAUAAAAAAUUAUUCUAUUUAUGAUUAAUUAAAUUAUUGAUUCGUAAUGAAUAAAAAUGUUAAUAAGUUAAGAUUUUUAAUAUUGUGAUUUGUUACUUUGUAAGGUUUGAGUAAAGAUAUAAAGGGGUUCCUAAUAUAAUGUCUUAGGUAAUAUCUUUUAUCAUUAAAAAACAUGUUUGAUGUUUGAUAUCUUUAUUACAAAUUUCUACAUUAGGGAUUUUGAUAUGUGUCUUGAUUUUCCACAUCUAUAACAUUUUAUCGUUUUAUCUUUUUUUUUCGAUUUUUGUUGUUUCUGUUAUUUACUAUAUUUCCUAUACUUUGAUUUUUUUUAUAAUAUUCUGAAAUAUUCUUUCAUAUAUUUUUUCAUUUUAUAGGGAAACAUGUUUUUGAAGAAGAAGGUUCAUUUCUAAUGUCAAAUUGGUGGCAGAAUGAUAGGCAAUGGUAGCAAUUUAAAAAUUCUCAUAGUAGAAACCCCUUGUAGGAAAUAAGAAAAUAAAAUGAUGUUUCCUUAGAGAACCAAUUCUUCUACAAGCUUUACCUCUAACCAAUACCAAGAGUUUGAUCAAACCUCAAACAACAAUGUUAAUGAAUAAGAACAUUAUGAAAAUGUUCACCGAUGUAUACUAUUUUUAAACCCUUCAAAUUUUUAUUUUACACUAGUAAUAAUGUGUCAUUUUAUUAUCACUUGAUGGUACAUAAAAUCUAUGCACCUAUGGUUAGGGGUGAACAAAGCUCGAUUCGAUUUGAAAAAAUUGAAAAAAAAAUCAAAUUUUGAGUAAUUCGAGUUUCGAGUUCGAGUCGAGUUGAAUUUUACAAUUCGAAUAAUAGAUUGGUGUAAAUACCCCUUUAAUCCAUGUCAAUUUUGAAAAUGAGCAAAUUGAUCUCUCUCAACGAAAAAUACAAAAUAACUCAAAAUAAUUUUUAAAAUUCAAAAUAUUUAUAAAAAUUCCAAAAUUUAUAUUUUUAAAAAAUAAAAAUAUUUCUAAAAAAUAUAUAAAGAAAUUUAAAAUUUUAUUUUUUUCUAAAAUAAUAAAUUUAGAGACCUAAAUAAGUUAAUUAAUGAUUCAAGUUUAUAAUUCUAAAGUAUCUUAUUAUUAUUAUUAUUAUUAUUAUUAUUAUUAUUAUUAUUAUUAUUAUUAUGCUUUGAAAAAGUUUUCAAAUAUAUAUAGUUUCAAUUGUAGGUGUUCUAGCAUUAAAUUAAUUAUACUAUAGCAAAAUUUUAAUUUGAUAUAUUUAAUUUUUUAAUUAACUGAACAAUUUCACUUGAUUCGAUUCGACUUGAAUUUCAUUUCACUCAAUUCAAUUUGAAAAAAAUUAAUCAAAUUAGAAUGAUAAAAUAGGAUUUAUCAACUUGAUUAACUUGAAUUUUUUUUACUAGAUUCAAUCGAACGCUAACCCCUACCUACGGUACAUUAAAUAUUCUCCCUAUAUUAUUAUUAUUAUUAUUAUUAUUAUUAUUAUUAUAGUUUUGGCUUUAUUUUAUUUGCACUUUGUAAUGACGUGAGAUAUUUCUAAGAUUACAAAUUAUUAUUAUUAUUAUUAUUAUUAUUAGCCAUAAAAACAUAAAAACUUUAAUUAUAUCAGAAAAUACAAAAAGUUAUGGUAAAAAACUUGACUCAGAAGUACAAGAGAGCCACAACUACCUCACUGUAAAACUAACUUCAAUAUCAGUUCGAAGGGGGAGUAGGAAAUUCAUCCUUGUCAAGAAUGAACACCAAAGAAGUUGGUGGUUGUCAAGUCCAACCUGUAACGCCUUGAAUAGUUUAAAUAUAUUUUUGUGAAAUUUGACAUAAAGGUGUAUUUGCUCAGUAGUUAAGUGUUUUAGGUGUGUGUAUCAGGUCUUGGGUUCAAGUCUCAUAUUUGGGGAAAAAAUUUAUUAUUAUUUAUUCAAGCAUUAUCCCUGUUAGGCAGGCUUAUAAAAUAUUGUUUGUUAAUCUAUAUCAAAAUGAGCCUGCUUGUUUGAGUGGUAAGGACUUAGUGUAUUGGAGGUCUUGUGUUUGAAUCUGUGCGUGAGUGUGAGUGUUAAUUUUUAUUUCUGUUGCCUGAUAGAGGUUCGGUGGAACUGGAACUCUGAGGUUGUUGGAUGAGAAUCUGAUGUCAGUUUUGGUGGGAUUUGUUGUUAGUGGGUUAGUCGGGGGAGUUAGGAUUUUCGUUAAUUUUGAUUUAUUUUACUUUUUUUUUAAAAUUUUUAUCUUUUCCCAAAAACCUCUCCCCUUUUUAAUUUUUUUUGUUUCCCACUAUCAAUUUUCUUUCUUUUUCAUCUUAUCGAUUUCUAUCUUCAUCUCCCUGUUAAAUUACAGUGCUUCGAUUCCCUUUUUUUGUACGUUUGGUAAGUGGUGGUAGUAAGGUUUUUGCUUGAGUUAAGGAGAAUUCUUUUAAAUCCGUUUAAAAAUGAUGUUGUCUUUUUCAUUAGUUCUAAUUUUUGGGUUGUUGGCAGCAGCGAAUCGGCAGGAUCGGAGCUCUCUUCUUGUGGAAUCGUAAUAUCGAGGAUCAUUCGGGAAGUUGGGUAAGUAAUGAACGCUUGGGUCUCGCUGUGAUCAAUUUAUUAUUUUGAUUUAAUUGAGGAUGCAAGACUAAUUUUGGGACGUGCUUUGUCGAUUUUUAGGUUCUUGUGGUCUCAGGAUUGUUUUCACAGCAAAAACAAACCAGGUGUGCACCUUAAACACGAAAAUUGAGGUUCGAAAAAAGCCGAAAAAUUGCACUGUUGACGCCACACGGGUGUGCACCCAGCUGUAUGGUUGGCCAUGUAUAAGACACAGUCGUGUGACUGACGAAGAUGUGGCCGUGCACAUGACACGACCUUGUGUCAGUGUGAGUGUAGUCGUGUGGGCCACACUAGCUAAGUCAGAUUGGGCGUGUGGGUUUAGGGUCAGGCCAUGUAGGCCACAUGAGCAAGGCCAAUCUAGGAGUGUGGGCCUACGUGGGCAGGCCACAUAGGCAUGUAGGCCCAGAAUUUUGAAAUUUUCCCUAGGGUCGCACGGGUCGUUUCGAUUGACUGUGGACCUACUGUAAGGUCGGUAAAGGCUAACCAAACCCUAAUUCAUGUGAUCUGAUAUUUUGAUAAUCUGAUUUGAGUAGGACAUUGAUAUGUAUGUAUGACUGUUCUGUUUGAGUAUAUAUAUAUGUUAUCUGUAUACAAGCAUGUUAGGCAUGUUAAUUCUGCUAAUUUUGAAUUUUGUAUCUGUGUUUGGGGAGAGAUUUGUAUAUGUAGAGGAAGUGAUCUAUAUGGCGACAUUUCGCCUAUAUUCUGGUAGAUCGACUACAUAUUAUCUAUGAUAUGUCGCAUCGACACUAUAUGGUAUGUAGGGAUGGUUGGGUAUUUUUAACCCCAUAUGAUGUGAUGGGAUGGAUGGAGAUGGUGUGUAGAGGAUGGGUGUAACGCCUUGAAUUUUACACCCAAAAGUUUAGAGAUUUGAGCAUAGGGGCAGUGGGGAGACUGCACAUAAAUGAUUAGUUGUGCACUCAAGUGACAAGAAUGGGCCUGUUGGUCUGGUGGUUAAGUGAGUCUUAGCAUACCUUGAAGAUCCGGGUUCGAGUUACGGGAGGCAUUUUUUUUUAGAGUCAUUGUUUUAUUUUUGUUUGUUUUAGUUAAUAAAUAUUUAGCUAUUAUAUUUUGUAAUUGUAUAUUGCUAUUUUUAUUUUUGUUUUGGACGUUCUUCUGUUUCUCUUUUUGGUUUUUGUUUCCCUUGCUUUUCUUUUUGAGGAUUAUUCGGAUUGCUUUUGAAAGUGAAUUGUCUAUGGAUUUUGGGAUUUGCACUCCUCCUUCGACUUCUUCGUCGUUGGGUCCAAUCACAACACAGGUGUGGGAUUCAAAUCUGGUUUACCUUUUCUUAUUAAUUGAUAUUUCAUUUUUUUGAAUUCCUUUCUUUCAGCUUUUCGUAACUAUACAUUAACCCCAUUCAUUUUUGGGUAUUGAGACAUUGUAAGAGAGGGGAAAGCACUAGUAUCUGAUGUACUCUUGGUGUGGUUAAGGUUAGGGACUAUUAUGGUGGCUUAAACGACGGUUUUGGACUAAUUUUGAGUGGUUUCGUGACCUCCCCGAUGACCACAUGGCUGUAUAACUCGGCACACGGCCGUGUGGAUUUAGGAACUAGGGUUUCGGGAUAAAUUGGGUACCAUACGGCCGUGUGGCUGAUUUGGGGAUUUUAUCAGAAUUCACACGAUCGUGUCCCUUCGGCACACGGGCGUGUGAGUUAGAGAAUUAGGGAUUUUGGAUUCGGAGUCAUAUGGAUGUGUGGUUGAUUUGAGGAUUUAAAGAUCCCACACGGGCAUGUGUUUCAGAACACAUGGCUGUGUCUGGUGGGCAUAUGGGCGUGUGAGACCCUCACACAGUAAUGUCUCCCCUGCACUUUAUUUUAGCGAUUUUUGACAAUGUUACAUGACCUGUUCACACGGCCGUGUCUGUAAUAUCCCGAAUUAGGGCCUAAUCGGAAUAGUGGUUUUGUGACCACAAAUCCGAGAUAGAAAUAAUUAUUUUAUAAUUAUUUUGAUGAUUAUGAUAUGAUUGCAUGAUUGUGUGAAAAUUUCGUGAUGAAAUUCUAUGCCUAAAGUGCUUAAAUUGAAAGUAAGGACUAAAUCGAAUAAGUUGCAAAACUUGCAUUCUAGAAGUUUUUUGUAUGAAAUUGUUUUGGAAUAUUAAUGAGGAGGUCUUAAAUAGCAAUUUGACCAAUUUUAAGUUCAUGGAAAAAAUUAGGACAUGGAAGGAAUUUUUGGAAAGUUUAGUAGUAAGGGUAUUUUGGUCAUUUAGUUAUUAAAAUGAAUUAAAAACAAAAUUAAAAGCCAAUUUUUGUCCAUCUUCUUCAUUAGGCCGAAAUUUCAAGGGUUCUCCAUAGCUAGGGUUUGUUUCAAGCUUCCAAGCUCCAUAGUAAGUGAUUCCAAGCCCCGUUUUUAAUGUUCUUUACGUUUUUGGAAUCCCGGUAGCUCGAUUAAGCUUAUGUUAGCAAUAAUUCAACCUAGGGUUUAUAUUUGGAAAAAUACCCAUAGGUGAAAUUUGUGUAUUUUGAUGUUUUAUGAUAGAAUAUGGGGUUUUAAAUUAUGUUAGACAACUUGUACUACUCGAUUUUAAGCAAAAACGAGUAAAAGGGCUUAAUCGGUAAAAAUACCUAAUAGUCACAAGUACAUGUUAGAGUGAGAAUUUGAUGUUGCCAUAGAAGAGAAAAGUGAUCAGCAUGUUGUAAAACAUAAGAAUAAGGAAUAAAGUUUAAUCCCGAGCCUAGGGGCAAAAAUGUAAAUAUGCAAAAGUUUAGGGGAAAAAUUGUAAUUUUGCCAAAAUUUGAGUUAAGGAUUAAUUUGAUAAUGUGGGUAUUAAAUGAGCUAAAUGUGUUAUUUUAGAUCAAGAAAGACGUGGAAUCGACCUCAAUCAAGGAAAAGAAAAGAUUGUGGACUAAAUUGCAAAAUCUUUAUAUUUUGGUACCAAGGUAAGUUCAUGUGUAAAUGUAGUAACAUAAUUGUCAUUUUAACCAAUUUAAUGUUGUUUAUAUGAUAUGAUGCUGAUUAUUAUCAUGAAAUAUUAUGCUUUGUGGUUAUUGUUGAAUAAUAUGUAAUUAUGUGAAUUACUUGAUGAGUAUGAACUAUCACCGAAGUACCGAUUUCGAUAUUCCGUGGAAGACGGCAAAGAUGUGUGAUCGAGGAAAACGCCCGUUUGAACCUUAGGAAUAGAUUAGGAUACAAGUGACAUGUCACUAGGAUGGUUGAGCAUCCAAACUCGUUGAGUUGAGUCCGAGUUCACUUAUGGAUGCGAAUGUCCGAACUCGUUGAGUUGAGUCUGAGUUCGUGAAAUGUAACUAGGCAUCCGAACUCGUUGAGUUGAGUCCGAGUUCACUUAUGGAUGCGAACGCCCGAGCUCGUUGAGUUGAGUCCGAGUUCACUUAUGGGCGGGUUACAUGGUAGCUUGAUUACAUAUGAGGCUCUUAUAUGCAAAUUAUCCAUGUAUCCGAAUUAUAUUCCGAUGUGUUCAACGGGUAAAGUUUUACUCAAAUAGAGGAAUACUCGAGAUGAAAAGAGACGUAUUGGUAAGUGAUGAGAAAUGGAUAUUUUGUACAGGUAUGUAUUUAACCCUCGGGUUGAGUGUUGAUUACAACCACGAUAAGGUAAUAAGAUGAUGGAAAAUGAUUAAAAAAUGUGAUAAGUGUGUUGAUGAUAUAUGCUAAUGUUGAUUAGUUUGAUUGUUUGUUAUGUUAUUUAUUAUUUACAUAUGAACUUACUAAGCAUUUAUGCUUACUCCCUCCUUCUUACUCAUUGUAGUUUUGGACAAGCCAGUUCAGGAGUCGGGAUAGGUUGAAGGCUCAGUCACACUAUCAGGAAGAUUUUUGGUAAAUGGCUUGUAAAUUUAAGUAUGGCAUGUAUAGCAAUAUACUUAUUUUGUGUAAAUGAUCUUAUGAUAUGGUGACAGAAUGGUUGAGAAAAUAUUUGAUAAUGAUAAAUUAUGAAAAUGGUAAGUUUAGAUUAUGUUUGAUGUUAAGGAAAACUAUUAUGAUACUUAGUGCAUAAAAACUCAUAAGAGGGAUGAAAUUUGCCAUAAACAGAAUACUGCAGCAACACUGACCCGAGUUUGAAAAUUUACUAAAAAUCAUAGCAAUUAAAUUUGGUGAUGGACUACAUAUCAAAUUUAAGCUUAUUAUGUCUAGUGUCACAUGAAACAAAUGAAACAGGUAAAGGAAUUAUAUGUUAGAAGAUAUUUGAAUUUUAGUGAAACAGGUUCAUAGCAGUUUCUGAAUCCCCUGCUCCUACUUUAGAAAUUCACCAUAAAUUUUAAAGAUAUAAUUAGGUGGUGUAUUUUAUAUCCUAAGAAUACUUAUUGAGUCUAGUUUUAGGAGAAACAAACCUCAUAGUCAUAUGAAUUUUUUACAUAGAGAAAUGUGGUUCAUAGUAAAUAGAGGUCAGACCAGUCAAGUCCUGAAAUAGGGGUAACUUUAACUAAUAAACUGUACUAAUUGGCCCAUUCAAAAAUUUUAUAAAAAAUUAGUAGAUAGGUAUAUGAGUCUAGAUUUAGGGAAAAUUUACGGAUCUUGAUUUCGAGUUUCGUAACUCGAGAUAUGAUUUUUCUUGUGACUGUGACGCAAGUAGCUUAAAAGCUGUGAAUAUAGAAACAAAUAAUCCAAAGUUCUAAAAAUGUUAAAUUAAGCUUAGUAACACCUCAUACUCGACUCCGGCGACGGUCUCGGGCGUGGGGGCGUUACAGUGUCCCCGCUUCACACAAGCGUGUGCCUCUAUCACACGGGCAUUUGGAUCACCACACGGCCUAGUUUGUCCCACACGACCGGGGCACACUGGCAUGUGGCCCUAUUUUGCUAGAUUUUGGUUUUAGGGCAAAUGUAAGUGCAAUUGGGACCUUGUAUGUUUCAACCCUUAGCUAAGCUUUAGUGAGGGUGUUUAGACUCUAAUCUGAGUUUGGAUAAUGUGUUAUUUGUGAUUGGUUGUGUGACAUGUUUGAUUCUGAACUUGGUUAGCUGGGUGAGUGUGUGAGCAACUAGUUCUAUCUGACUGUCUGACUACGUGUUAUCAAUAUGCGAGGUUAUUUUGUAAUUGAUACUGAACUCAAGUAAUGAGUGUGCACAUUUCUGAUUCUGAUUGACCAUAUAUGAGUGACUGUCUCUGGUUAACUAUCUGGAAAUUGAUAUUUUGAGUUUUGUGCAUCUGUCUGUAUACAUACAUUUGCAUGAAAUUGUUUUGGGUGGGACUUUGAAGAGAAGGAAGAUUGACUAAACUAAACUGUUAGCUAAUCUUUUGGUUAUUAGCCUUAAUACCCAGAGGGUUAUGGGCGGUCCCAAUACCCUGAGGGUCGUGGACAAUUUGACUGUACUGCGGACUACUACAUUAUACAGAACAUGCAUCAGUAUCGCUGCGUAUCAUUGACUGAACUAGAAGUUUUAUUACAACCUAAUAGUAUAGCGGUUUACCGUAUUGCGCUGUACCGCAUGUACGUUAGCUACGCUACGUACAACUAUUUGAUCUGGCAGUUUAUACUGCAUGUCUGUACCGCGGUUUAUCGCAUUGCAUGAUACAGCUUAUACUCUAGCUUUGCUGCAUAAUAUACGUGACUGGCAGUUUAUCUACAUACUGUUAGCCUCAAUACCCAGAGGGUCAUGGGUAGUCACAAUUCCUUGAGGGUCAAGGACAAUCCUGAUGGCCAAUGUUGCCGGAUAACCCGGGAUGACAUCAAUUGGAGUGCAGGGUUGGAUGGUCCUUACGAGGUCCAGAGUUGAGUGAUUGGUGGGAUGAGUUUAAAGCUCUUAUGAGGAGUAAUGAGGGACGAAGAGGUGUGUUGGCUAGAUAGGUGGGUUUCUCAUAACUCAAUUACAUUCAUAUGCAUCAUAUUGACUGCUCGACUGAAAUGUCUGAUUGACGGUUCGAUUGAAAGGCACUUGUGCCUAUGAGAAUUGUGUAGACUUUGACUGUAACUGUCUGACUAGAUAGUUCUUAUCACUGUUGAGAAUUACUGCUACUGUGCCUGAAUGGUACGUGAAACUGUGUGCGUCUGAUUGACUCAUAUGACUGUAAAGUAAUAUGGUGUAUGAUUGAUUUUGGGCGAAUUCGCUCAACUGUCAUCUGUCUGUCUGUAUGUUUUGCUUUUGAACUACUUCUAGUUCCCUAUUUUCGUUUUUGUAGUUUAAUUGGUUUGUUCUCACACUAAGCUUGAGUAGCUCACCCCCUCUUUUUUUUCCCCUUUUAGGUACAGUUUUGGAUUCUGUUGAUGGGAUCAGUACGCGAAGGUCUCAGACAGUCUCAGUGAAAGUGGAAUAUUAGUUUGUGAUUUUCAGUUUUUUUUUAUUCGUACUGUAAGAUUUUAUAAUAUUAUGGUACAAUUACUAUUUUAAACUUUUAUUCGUACAUGUUAUUCUCUUGUGGAUGGAAUUUUAAACAAUUAAACGUUUUGAUUUGUUUUAAGAUAAAAAUUGUCAGAAAUGGAAUUUUGAACGACUUGUUUUUGUAGAAAUCUUCUCAGGAUUGCUUUGGUGAUCAAUGUAGUAUUUCGAAUUCAGUCUUUACUUCUAGGCCGGGUUUGGGGUGUUACAAGGGGGGUAGGAUUCUGAAUAUCCAUUCUGUUUAUCUGAUUCUGAUAUCUGUAUCUAUUAUGGACUUAGGUCCGAAUCUGUAUCUGACUGUAUAUGAAAUAUGGUGUAUGUUACUUGGCUAUUUCUGUUGGGUUACACAGUGAGUUUACGAAAACUCACAUUUUUUUGUCUAUUCUGUUCAGAGGUAAUCUAUAGACUUAAGCGGGUUAGUGCGACAGAGGCUCAACAGUGACCACUUGACUGAGAUUUGUUUUUAUUUAGUAAUAAUGGUUUAUUUUAAAAUCUGGUUUUCUUAAGAGUUUGUAAUUUUUUGGGACUCUCUGGACUGUAUGAUUUUAACUUUUGGAUUUGGAUUUUGUUUUGUAUUUUUUUCCGCAAUGUUGACAAAAACACUAUGCAAACAAAUGGUUUUAACAAAUAGUUUUUAGAAAAACGAGCUUGGUUUUGUUUAAAAUGAUUUUGAAACUUCUACUUUGAAAUAAACAGUUAAUUUUAAAGAACAACUCAAAAUAGUUUUAGUAAUGUAUAUGUAUAAAUGAAUAUGUUAUAAUACCUAGAUGAUUUAACUAAUAACUAAACAUGAUUUUAUCGAAGUAUUUUCAGUUUCAAAACCCUUCAUCGUAACAUUCCUAGAUUCAGCCAUAACGUAUAGGCUGUGUUUGGGGUAUUACAUUUAGUGGUAUCAGAGCUAGGUUACAAAACUCAGGCUGUAAAUUUUGAGUUUCAAAAUUGUAUUUCAAAAAAGAAUUGGUUGAUAAUUUAGAUCAUUUUGAGUAAGUAUAUGGUACACCGAGUCUCCGGCGCCAAUACUCUAAGUAUCUCUAAAUUUAGAAAACACUAAAUUAGUACUUUUUAAAAUUGUACUAAGUUAGUUAGAGACUAAAGCCUCUGAAAUACUUCUGAACUUCUGAUAAAUUAAGUAUAAAAUAUCUGCUAAUAAAUACUGGAACUGAUGCAUAAAAUUCUAUAAUAUAGAUAAAAUUGAAAAUACGAUGAGCGCUCGUGGAACUCACGGUCGUAUUAUUUGUGGUUGUGGUGGGUGUCGUAGGAGGGCUCGAGCUAAGUAUUCUUCUCUGUGUAGUAUGCCAAAUUUAAACACAAGUGAGACACUAGUUUCACUUGCUAUUGAGACUGGGCCUCAAAGCCGCUCGGCGGGGGACGACGCAUUGUCCCAAGCCAUGUUGAGAGUAUUGGAGAGGGUCGUUGGACCCCAUUCUAGAUCUGGGGUUCGUAGGUCGGUAAUUGAAAUACUUCAGUCCAAUGAAGCUAAGUUGUUUAGGGGCGUCACUAGAGUCGCCCCUACUGUGGCUGAGUAUUGGUUAAAGGCCACUGAGAGGAUUAUGAACGACAUUGAAUGCACUCCUAAGAAGAAAUUGAAGGGUGCAAUCUUUUUGCUUCGUGACAAAGCUUAUCAGUGGUAGUUGUCAGUUGAGGAACGUACUCAACCAAAUCAUCUGAACUGGGACUAACUUAAGACUGCUUUCUAAGGAAAAUAUGUGGGUACAAUUUAUGUUGAUGCUCGUAGGCGUGACUUGAGCUUAUGAAUCUCAUGCAAGGUGAUAUGUCUGUGGCCGAGUAUGAGGCCGAGUUUCUAAGAUUGAGCUGCUACGCUCGAGCUAUGAUGGCAUCUGAGUAUGAGAAAUGUGUUUGUUUUAAGGACUGUUUAAGGGAUAGUCUAAGGGUUCUGAUUGCUCCGCUGAGGGAGCGUGAGUUUGUUGUUUUGGUAGAUAAGGCGAAGAUUGCUGAAGAGGUUGAGCACGUGGAGCACCUAAACAGGAAGCGAUAGAGAGGUAAGAACAAGAGGGAUUUGGUGCCCUCUAGUGCUGUUUAGAGGCCUAAAAAGUGGGCUAGACCUGAUUCGCUUGUUAGAUUGAGAGUUCGUGUUGCUCCUACUGGGAUUCAGCCUUGUGGUGAUUGUGAUAGGCCAUCCGAGCACGUGUUGGAAGAGAUUAGGGGCUUGUCUGCGGUGUGGGUCUUUGGAGCAUGGGAUUAGAGAAUGUCCACAUCGUGCUGAUCAGACGCAAGCUUUGGGACUGAGUUUUGAUCAACCUCAGAAGGCAGUACAACAACCACCUAGGGGCCAUAGACCGGCUAGGAGUGGUAAUGGUAUCGGCUGAUGACAGAAAGCACCGGGUAGAGGUGCUAAUCAGAUUGAAAUGAGGCAGCCUGUAUUGGUUUAUGCUGCUUGAUGCCGAGAGGAUAAUGACAUUCCUGAUGUGAUCACGGGUAUGUUUUUAAUUUUUGAUGCUCCAUAUACUGCUUUGAUAAACAUAGGUUCUACGUACUCCAAUGUAGCUAGUACUGUUUCUAGGAACUUGGGGAUUUUUGUUGAGUGCGCUUCUGGUGAUAUUAUUGUACUAAGUCCAUUGGGAUAGUCUAUUCGAGUAAAUAAACUUUAUAGGAAUGUUUCGUUAAAAGUAUAAGAGGCUGCGUUUUCAGAAAAUUUGAUAGAGCUACCAUUUGGGGAGUUCAACUUAAUUCUGGGUAUAGACUAGUUAGUUGAGCACCGAGUUAGGUUCAAUUGUGCGACUAAAAGGGUUGUUCCGAGGACCGGGGAUGAUAAGGAAGUGGUUGUGAUCGAUGAGCAUCGAGAUUACUUGUCUGAUGUGUUCUCCACUUUAGUGGCUGAGAAAUUGGUUUAGAAAGGGUAUGAGGCGUAUUUGGCCUAGUCAGUGUUUCAGUUCUAGGAACUCUUCUGUCAAGGAUAUUAAAACAAUGAAGGAAUUUUUAGAUGUUUUUCCUGAGGCAUUACCAAGUUUACCUCUAAAUUAGGAAGUUGAGUUCGGCAUUGAGCUUCCAUCAGGUACAGCUUCGGUGUCUAUCGCUCCAUACCGUAUGGCACCGAAGGAGCUUACAGAGUUUAAGGCUCAACUUCAAGAGCUUCUAGAUCGUGGUUUCAUCCAUCCUAGUAUGUCUUCGUGGGAGGUAUUGGUUCUGUUUGUAAAGAAAAAUGAUGGUACCAAGAGGAUGUGCAUCGACUACCGGCAGUUGAAUAAACUGGCUGUGAAGAAUAAGUACCCACUUUAGAGGAUUGACAACCUAUUUGAUCAGUUCCGUAAGGCUACGGUAUUCUAAAAAGUAGAGCUUCAUUCUAGGUAUCAUCAGCUUAGGGUUAAGAAAGCUAAUAUUCAUAAGGCAGCUUUUAGGACUCGUUAUGGGCACUACGAGUUUCUAGUUAUGCCCUUCGAUUUGACGAAUGCUCCGGCUACAUUCAUGGAUAUGAUGAACCGAGCUUUUCAGCCGUAUCUGGACCAGUUCUUCGUAAUCUUCAUUGACGAUAUUCUGGUGUACUCUAAGACUAAGGAUGAGCAUGGUGCGCAUCUUAGAGUAGUGCUUCAGAUGCUCCGAGAGAAACAACUCUACGCUAAGUUGAGCAAGUGUGAGUUUUGGUUGCGAGAGGUAACUUUUCUGGGACAUGUGGUUUCUGCUGAGGGGAUUCGAGUUGAUCCUUGAAAGAUUGAGCUUGUGCUUGAUUGGAAGCAGCCUAAGAAUGUUUCUGAUAUCCGUAGUUUUCUGGGUCUUUCGGGUUAUUAUUGGCUGUUUGUUGAAGGGUUUUCACUAAUUACGGCUCCUUUGACUAAGCUUCUGCUCAAGAGUGUUUCUUUCGUUUGAACUGAUAUGCAAAAAUCGAGCUUUGAAAAGCUCAAGUCCGUUUUGACUCAAGAUCCUAUUCUGAUAUAGCCUGAAUUUGGUAGGGAGAUUGUGGUGUACAGUGAUGCGUUGCACAUCGGUUUGGGAUGUGUACUGAUGCAAGAUGGUAAGGUUGUGGCUUAUGCGUCCUGUCAGCUUAAGUCAUAUGAGGGGAAUUAUCUGAUGCAUGAUCUCAAGUUAAUCGCGGUGGUGUUUGUGUUAAAAAUCUAGAGGCACUAUCUGUAUAGUGAGAGGUUUAUUAUCUACACCGAUCACAAGAUCCUCAAGUACCUCCUUACUCAGAAGGAGUUGAAUCUUAGGCAACGUUGAUGGAUUGAGUUGCUCAAAGAUUAUGACUGCACGAUAGAGUAUCAUCCUAGUAAGGCCAAUGUGGUGGUCGAUGCUCUUAGUCAAAGAACGAUGACUGAUUUGAGGGUUAUGUUCGCUCGUCUCAAUUUAUUUGAUGAUAGAGGUCUGUUAGCCGAGUUGCAAGUUAAGCCAACUUGGAUUGAUCAUAUUCGAGUUAAGCAGUUAGGGGAUGAUUCUAUGGUUCUGCGGUUUUGUUAGGUUGAGAGUCAUAGUACUUUUGAUUUUGGACUGAUUAAUGAUAGAGUUUCGUGUUUCUGAAGUCGGGUUUGUGUAUCGAGCAAUUGUGAUUUGAGGCAGUCAAUUUUGAGGGAAGCACAUAGUAGCCCUUAUGAUAUGCAUCCUGGUGGUAAUAAGAUGUAUCGGGAUCUUCGUGAGUUGUACUGGUGGCCGGGAUUGGAACGUGAGGUAACAGAUUUUGUUGGUUGUUGUCUGACAUGCCAGCAAGUUAAGGCUGAACACCAGUUGCCUUCAGGUUUGCUUCAACUUGUUAAGAUUCCCUUGUGGAAAUGAGAAUGAGUGACGAUGGACUUUGUUAGUGGAUUGCCCUUGACAUCCAUUAAGAAUGAUUCUAUUUGGGUCAUCGUGGAUCGAUUAACCAAGUCUGCCCAUUUUAUUCCGAUUUAGACGGACUACUCUCUGCAAAAGUUAGUGAAGCUCUACAUCUCUGAGAUUGUAAGACUGCAUAGGGUUCUGGUUUUGAUAAUUUCUGAUAGGGAUCUUUACUUUACUUCUCAGUUCUGGAGGAAACUGCAUGAGGCUUUAGGUUCAAGAUUGGACUUCAGUACCGCGUUUCAUCCUCAAACCGAUGGUCAAUCUGAGAGAGUGAUUCAGAUACUGGAGGAUAUGCUUCGGAGUUGUGUGAUUGAUUUCCAAGGUAGUUGGGAGGAUUUUCUGCCGUUAGCUGAGUUCGACUAAUGUAACAGUUUCCAGUCUAGCACCCAGAUGGCACCUUACAAGGCUUUGUAUGGUCGUAAGUGUCGUACUUCGCUAUGUUGGACUGAAUUGGGUGAGCAACGAAUUUUGGGUCCUGAGUUGGUUUUCGAGACUAAAGAUAAGGCUAGACGAAUUCAGGAUCGUCUGAAGGCGGCUUCUGAUAGACAGAAAUCCUAAGCGGAUCUGAAAAGAAGGGAUAUCCUCUAGUCACAAUCAAACCUUCUUUGAUUCUGAUCGGACCAUCUGUAUUUAACUGAACCCAAUUACUAGCAAGCUAAGGAUAUUAAAUUUUCGUGUUUAAUAGUUUUUAGAAAUUAUAUUUUGUAUUAAACUUUUGUCUGAAUUUCUUUCAAUAUCAAAUUACUCUUUAUAACGUAUGGUAUUUUAUGUCAUAUAUAUAUUUUUUAAAUUGUGUACAUGCAAUUUAGCCUGUAUAAUAUUAAUGGCAUUACUAGAUUUAAUUUUUUUUUAACUUUUGAAAUUUUUUUCUUUUACUAUUUUUAAAGAAUAACCAAAUAUUUAGAAUUCAAUCAAAUGAGAAUUUAGUUCAGUUGACAAAAAUAGAUAUCUUGAAUCUUGAGUACUUCAGUUUAAGACCUACUAUGCACAAAUAUUUACGUAAGGUUUUUUAAUUUUAAUUUAAUUAAUUUUAAUUUAGUUUUAAUCUCGAUUAUAUUAGAACGAUCGAUUUAUGAUUAUUUAUAUUUGUAAUUAUAUUGUACUUGUUACGCUAAAAAAAAUAAAAUUAUUUCACUUUUCCUUUUCUUUCAGAAUAUUUCAUAUUAAUUCCUAAUCGAUCCAGACAUCUGUUUUGUGGUUGCAUCCACUUUAAACUUCAUAAUUCCAAAAUAAGGUGAGCAAAUAAAAGGAUUUGCCUUCCAAUUAUAUAUUCUCACUAAAGGGAAUAUGCAAGUGCCUUCGUUCAUCAUCAUCAUGUGCAUGUGCUUGAUUUUCCCUUUUACCUGGCUAAUUGAAAUGUAUACAUGGGAGUGUGUAUAUAUACAUGCUAAUUGUCACCAUCUUUUAAAGCAUAUAUUCAGCUCCCUGAUAAAUUAUAGAGGAAUAUAUGUUUGUUAGCAUCCUUAUUUAUUAAAGUGAGAUGUUUAAUAAAUACGAGAUUUAUGAUACACUUACAUUUAUAAUAUAAAUGAAAAAUAAAGUUAUUUAACAAACAUAUUUAUUAAAAUUCAUAUAAUAAGCAAUUGAUAUUUUUUAUUAUAAAUGUAAAGUUAAUUGUUUACCAUGCUUGAAUUUAGAGUUGUCUAAGUGUUGAGUUACUCGUCUGAACUCGAGAGUUUGCUCGAAAUAUGAGAGGGUUUAAACAAGUAGACAAAGCUAAAAAAAUAGACUUAGGAAAAUAUAUAGACCCGUUUCCUAUUCGAGCUAGGCCUUGAAUAGAGUUUUUAAGCCCGAGCCUAACCCGACCUGAAUAUAUAUAAUUUCUAUAUUGAUUCUAUUCCUUUGCUGGGUAUGGAACAUUUGAAGGUGUGCAAUUUACUUACGGCAUGUUUGGUUGGGUGUAUUGGCUAUGCCAAUACACCCCUAAUCGGUGGGCCCCACUUAAGCUCCCUUUAUUCCGUUGUUUGGUUCAUGGUAAUGCUAUUACGGGUGUAAUCUAUUACUGCCCUAAUCGGUGAAAUCCAUCGAUUUGUAAUACAGCCCUUUUGCUCAGAUUAGGUGCUGCAUCCAAAUCCCUCCCUGUUUUACCCUCCCAAUUGGCUUCCCCAUUCCAUCGCCUCUUCCUUCGUUCUACCUUCGUUCUACCUUUGCCUCCCGAUUGGCUUCCCCAUUCCUUCGCCUCUUCCUCUGUCUCUCAACCUCUUCUUUUCUUUUUCUUUACAACCAGUCACUCUUUCGUUUUGCCUUCUCAACCAGUCGACCUUUUUCUUUUCUUUUUCUCUGUGUCACUCCUUCGAUUGCUCUCAAUUGAUGGGUUUCCAGGUUACUGCUACUGAAAGGUAAAGGUUUCUAACUCUCUUUUGCUCUCAAUUAUCCUGUAAUUGUUCUAACUCUCUUCUUCUCUCUGUACUGAGUUUUAAUGGCUGUCUUGUUAGUGUCUUCUUCAUUGCACUUUCAGGGCCUGAUCAUAUAAACUUCAUCGAAACACGGAAUCUUUUGUUUCUUCUUCUCUUUUGCUGGAGUUUUUGCUUUAAUUUUCGGUAAAAAUUUCUUACUAAUCUUUGAUUUUGGUUGUUUUCUCAUUGGUUGAUCUUUACGGCCCUCAUGGAAUCAAAGACCUGAAAGUUUAAAGGGAAUUUUCCUUACUUUCUUGAUAAAAUUCAAUUUAAAACAUUCCAAUAAUUUUUUCCACCUUGUGAUUGGUAAUUUUUCACUUCUUAAUUCUUUUUGAAUAAUUGAGUUAUCUACUUCGUUAUUAGAUGAUUAUUGUUAUGAUUAUUUGAAGAACAGUAACUUGUGUACAUGGAGUUUAUUUUGUUCUAAUUGCGUGACAGGUUUUCGAUGCUUAGUUGCAUGUUAAACAGAAAUCCAGAAUGAUCCUAUCAAUGCAAGAAAAGUCACAGUUUAUUCCAAUUUACAAUCAUUUUUUUCUUUUUCUAUGUGUGUUUUUAUCUUGUUAGGAUUAGACUUGCUCAUAUUCAUUUUCGUUCAGUAUGUUGUUUUUUCUAUUAGAUUUUCAUUUUUCUGGAUUGUUCUUUUAAAAAAUGAAUGAUUUUUCCUAGUAAUCUAAUUUAAUUUGUGUUUUUAUGUUAUGGGGGGCUAAAAUGAUUAGUAUUCUUCUCCAGCAAAGAGAAUGAAGCCAGAGGUUUCUUCGUUGAAUCCCUGUGCAGCAUCAUACAUACCACUUGCCAAAAGGGAGGGUUCCAUAGCUAAAGAUAUUAAGGCUGGAAAUGAGUCUGCUUGGUUUGAUCCUUCCUCACGUAGCAAUGCUUCACUUGAAUCUGCAAUCCCUGGCAUUGGAAACCACCUGGUUGCACUGAAAAGCGACCCUGGUCAUGGUUCUUUGAUGCAAAAUCAGGGUGAAAUGAGUGGCGAGCAGAUUAUGGAUGAGGAAUUCGACAUGGAUUUGGAGUAUCUUCGCAUGAUGUUCCCCGGUUUGUCCAAUGACUCUGUUCUGGAUGUCUACAUGGCUAAUAAUGGAGACUUAGAAGCCACUAUUGACAUGCUGAACCAACUUGAGGUAAAUUUUGCCUAUCUUUAUUUUAUAAUUUAUAUAACUUGAUUGUCUGAGUGGUCUUGCUGGAUUAGUUUUCUAUAUUAUUUUCAUCUCGAAUGUUUCCUAUAUUAUUAGCUCCUCUUACUGUUCCAUCCUGCAGAUUUCCAAGUGUCCCUCUAUGAAAGUGCUAGUAGUGAAGUAAUUGAAUUUAUGAAUAAUUUUCUGAUGUUAUGGGUAACAUAUUUCACUUGUUUUUAACUGUAUGACAUCAAAGAGUUAAGGAUGUUAGUCUGCAUUCAGGCCUAUUUCAGCAUAACCAUGGUUUUUCUUCAUUUGUUUUAAUCCUCCCUGUGCAAAUGAUAGAGAUUUUUCAACCUGUUUUUGUCUCCCACCUUUUGAACUUUCAUAUGAUUUUAUACAUUGAUUUAUGUCAAUGAUUUCCCCACAUAUUUUGUUCUUAUGGAUCGUAUACCUUCAGAUGCUUUUAUUGUUUUUAUUCACCUCACUUUCAGUUGAAUAUAUUAUAACUGAGGGUUGUGUAGUGUUAUCUUGUUCAUAUAAAUUUGUUUGGAAAUUUACCUAUUCUAUAAUGCCAUUAAUAAUGUAUGCUAAUUUGAAUAUUGGGGAUAGGAUGUUUUCCUCAUGCUGCUUGCUUCUUGUUUACUCAUUGUACGGCAAGUUCUUUCUUUGGUUUCAUUAGAAGUGAUUUCUGGAGUAUUUGUGAUUUUGAUUCUUGAAUUAGUUUAUGGUUGGGAUUAAAAAUGCACAUUUUUGCCCUUAUUUCAGUAUUCAUGUACAUUGGAUAGUUCUCUUUGUUAGAUGUACACUGUUGAGUCCUCUGACACUCUUCCCGACACAUUGGAUAUCGGUGAUAUCUCUGAAUUUAUCUCUUCAGCAAACUGUGGUACUCUUAAACUGAAGAAUGUGGCAGGUGAAACCGGCGCGUCUUCAUUAGGCUCUACAGAAUCAGCUGUUACCUCCUGAUUGACAUAAUCAAAGGGGUUUCAGUGUUUCUAGUUUUAGUUGUAUCUCUCAGUGGAUAAGAAGUGUACACAAGUAGGGUUCUUCUUCAAGGUUGAGAAAUGUAGUACUUUGCUUUUAACACUUGAAGGGUUUAACAUUGGAUGUGUAGUUGUAUGCUGUAACAUUUGUUUGGUCGCUCAACUUUUUCUACAUUUGUUUGGCGAUGGAAGAGUAUUUGUUUUGUUUAUGCCUUUGCUGGGGGUUCAUUUUCUCUAUAUAAUAUAAUAACUUAUAUUAGAAGUAAAAUUGUAUUUUGCUUUCUACUAAAAGAAUGGGCAAAUUAGUUCGUGUACGUAAGAUUAAAGAGCAAACUAAUCUUUUUGUUAAAAAUUUCAUCCAUUUUUAUAAUUAAAACCGGUCUUUAUAUGUCGGCAUGAGGUACACGUGGUACAUUACAUGUAAUUGUCUGAUUAUUUUUAUUGUUAACAAUUGAUCUUUUUACAUAGUUUGUGAUAUAUGCACAAAUGAGGUGAAAUUUAUUAAAUUUUAUUCACCGAAUCUAUCAAUUUUCAAAUUUGGAAAAUCAGUCGACUUGCAACGACUUUUUGGAUAGGAUCAAACAUUCUUGGAUUGAGAUAUUUUCAUAGUGUUUGGAGAUCUCUUAAUAUAAGAAUAUUAAUUAUUAAGAAUUUUAUUAAAUUAUAUAUUUUAAUUAUAAUAUAUUUAAUAAUAAUUAUGUUUAAAUAUGAUUAAAAUAUUUAUUAUUGAUAUUAAUAAUCUUAUUAAAAUUUAAAUAACAAUAACAAUAAUAAUUUACCAAAACAAAUUUCUGCUAAUUAUUAAGAAUUUUAUUAAAUUAUAUAUUUUAAUUAAAAUAUAUUUAAAAAUAAUUAUUUUUAAAUAUGAUUAAAUUAUUUAUUAUUGAUAAUAAUAAUCUUAUUAAAAUUUAAAUAAUAAUAACAAUAAUCAUUUACCAAAACAAAUUUAUGCUAAGGGUAUUCUAGUCAUUUUAGUUUUUUCCAUUAUGUUAUUACACCUCUAUUCCAUUCAACCAAACACAAGAUUACUAUUACGCCUCUAUUCCAUUACAUUCAACCAAACAGUUGAUUUGCUAUUACACCUCUAAUCCAAUACACCUCUAAUCCAAUACAGCUCUAAUCUAAUACACAUCUAAUCUAAUACAGCGAACCAAACGCACCCUUAGUGAUACUGAUGAUGUCUAAGUUGAUUGUAAUUACAUUUAUAAGAUCCCGAUAGCUCUGCAUAAAGGUUUGGAUAAGAUGAUUUGGCGUUGCUCUAAUAAUGGAUUAUAUUCAAUAAAAUCAGGAUGCAAGUUAGCCUCUGAUUUGUAUUCAAAUUUUGUUUCGAAUGAAGCCGGCGGUCCUCGAUUGAAGAUUUGGAAUGGCCAUUUCCAAUCGGAGGUGAACUAUUUUACUUGGAGGUGUCUCAGAAACUUUAUUCCUACCAAGGCAAUGUUAAUUGUUAAAGGAUUAAAUGUGCCUUCUAUUUGUGCUAAAUUUUAUAUAUAAACUUACGCCCUGUUUGAGAAUGUUAAUCAAUUAAAAAUUAAUAUUCAAUUAAUUGAAAAUUGAUAUGUAAUUUUAGUUGAAAUUUGAUGAAUUGUUUUUUUUAAAUGGAAUGGCAAUAUUUGCAUGAUAUUUUGAGUUCAAAUAUCUUUAUGAUUAAAUUUUUAUUGAUUUAUUAUAUGUAAAAAAGAUUAAAAAAAGAAAGAAAAGAACAUUAUCACAAAAAUAUAAUUUAAUUAGUAUAUAAGAGAAUAUUUUAAUAAUUUUAAAAUUGAAUUGAUAAUCCAUCACACUGGUAUAGAUUAACUAAGGAGUGUUUCAAAGUGUUGAACGCCUCAUGGUCUGGAAAACAUGGCCAUAAAAACAAUAUACUAAACACAUAAGUGUAAGACCCAAAUUUUGCCCAAGCCUAAAAUAUUUACAGUCCAAUUACAAAACCCAAUAUUUAACCUAAACUAUCAGCCCAAUUAAGACCUAAAACAAAGACCCAAAACCAAGCCCAACACGGCCCAAACUAACAAAAACCCUAAUGCCUCGAUAGGCCCAAAAUCUAAACAAAUUUCAGCCAAAAUAUGGAAGCAGAAACCCAAGUGCGCCGCUCCCUACGUGGUGUCAGCACCUUCUCCGCUGCAACGCUGCCACUGGCCUCCUCCACGCCUCUGACAGCACCUGCAAAACCAAAGCAACAAGCAAAACAACAGCAGAGACAACAGUGGCAACAGAGUAGAAGGAAAACGAAAUAGUAGAAUAUAUUGUAAUUUAUUCGACUAUAAAAGCCUCGAAAAAUCAGUGUAUCAAGGGGGAUUUUUGGGGAACAAAAAAGAAAAUCGAAUAAAAGAGAAGAAAUUUGAAACAAAAUACCAAAGGUGAUUCCUCUUUUUAUUUUUUAUCUUACUUUCAAAAAAAAAACAAUAAACAAAAGCACGGUCUUUUUACCUGAGUCGACAAACCUUCCACAGUGGUCGAAAGUCCUCUCCGGCGUUCGAAACCUAGAACCCAUAGUGGUUCGGCGUGAUGAUUUUGAGAGACGUUGUAACGCCUCAAUUUUUAGGCCUGGAAGUAUUGGGCCUUCAGUCUAGGUUUGGGUAGAAGACGGCCCGAAUAAUUUGGAUGUUAUUAUUAUUAUUAUUUCGUAUGUUUAGUUUAGUAAUUAAAUAAAUUAUGAAGGGUUUAUGGUGUGGGAAAAGGUCCAGGGCUCGGCCCAUAGCUUUAGCAAAAUUAUUAAAUUUUGCCUCUUAAGGGAAUCUGGGCAAUAGGCCUUAUUAAUAAUUUGGGCAAGGAACUUGGUGUUGGCCGAAUAUUGGACUCUUGAGGGGCAAGAGUUGGCCGACCAAGGGUCUUUAGUAUAGGCAAUUCGGCUAGGUCUAUGUGCUUUUUAAUUUUUCCCUUGACGAAUAUUAUUUCCCUUCUCCCCUCUCUUUUAUUCAUAUUUUCUUUUCUUUUUCCCUCAUAGCCGAACCCAUACCCCUUUCUUUCUUCAUUAUUUCUUAAAAGUCAAAUCUUAUUAUAGCCGAACCUCUAUUCUUUUCUUCCUUAAAAAGCCAAAACCUUCAUACCUAUGGUUUAGGAAGCCGGAUCUUUGGCUACUUGAACCUGUUUCUUCUAACUACGGUAGAUCGGGAUUAAUAUCAUAGAUAUGAGCACUUUUCUGGGCCAAACAAUGAUUGGUAAGUUUGUCGAAUAAUUUUUGUUAAUUAUUUAUGAUUUAAUAUAAAAGCGGAAACCCCUUAAGGGUGGCUAAUGUUUGGACUAAGGGCGUUAGUGCCUCUUUUUUUCCAUUGUAUAAGCAUUAGCGUGGACAAAGGGGCGUGCAGUAAAGGGUUUGAAGACUGAUUCGGACUGGAUAUCUAGAUCUAAUCCAUAUUUCGGCAAAAAGGUAAGAACUCUAGGGUUAAGGGAUGUUGGCCGAAUUUGGUAAGGGGGAAUAGUACGUAGUUUGUUUUCGGUAUGUAGACUGACAUUUAGUAACUCGAUUGUAGGAAACCCCUGAGUGGAUCUCGCCAGCAUACCGUUACAAAUCAGGUGUGUAAACGACACCCACUCAUAGACUAGAUCGGCAAAAGCCGAAAAGUUGAAAUGCCGAAAAGUCGGCAUUUUGUGAACUUGCGAGCGUGCGAGUGCUCGUGAGGUGGUUAGUUUGUUAAAUUUUGGUAAUCACAAGCGGUAUGAUUGUAGAGUGCGCAAUUUCAUGCACUUCAGUAUAUUUGGGCUUAAUGGGCCGAAAACGGGUUAGUGGGCCAACGGGCCUAAUUCGGUAAAAACGCUCGGUAGGUGUUUUUGUUAAUGCGUUAAUAACUAUAAUGAGCAUGAAACCCUAAAAAUAUUGAUAAAAUUACUGAAAUACCUCUGUAAGAUAGAAUUACCGUAAUACCCCUAAAGGGGUAAGUUUACGAUUACGCCCCUCGAGGGUAAAUAACUAUUCUUACGCUAUAAUCUGACUGUCUUUCUGAAGCAUGCCUUGUUAAUUAUAUAUAUAUAUUCUACAUACAUGUCAUACUGCAUGGGGUUGGGUUUUGUUAUGGAGGAAGAACCCGUUCUGGUAGCUGUGCCACAUAUUCUGAUAUAAGCAACUUGGCUGCGGAUUAUAGUUAGUGCCGCAACUGGUGCUAACACUGUAAGUGUAAGGAUGGCGUGGGUGAUUUAUUCCCCACAGGAAGUGUAGGGAUGGACGGAGGCAAGUGCAGGGUUGGAUGGGGUUAUCAUGUGUUAAUCAUAUGAGACUGUUUUAUUAUGGGCCAACUGUAUUGAAAUGGGCCCAACUGUGUUGAUAUGGGCAAGGCCCAAUAUAUCUCGACUUGUAAUAGGGCUAUCGCCCAGAUUAAUACUAAUAUGGGCUAGACCCAGUAUACUUUGAUAUUGUAAAGGGCUAUGGCCAGAUUAAUAUUGAUAUGGCCUAAGGCCCAGUUAGCCCUGAUUUUUGAAUAGAGGUUAGGCCUAGUAAAGCUUGAACUGAUUUGGGCUCUGGUUGGGAUACUUUACACACUGAGUUUUCUAAACUCACCCCAUUUUUUCCUAUCUUUGCAGGUGAGCCUUAGAUCGGUGGACUUGGAGCUGGAGGGAUUCAGAGUGGCCAUGUGGACUGUUUAAAAUAAGUGUUUAUACCUUCACUUUUAUUUUAGAUUAUUUCCUUUAUGUUUUCGGGUUUUUAAUUUGUAAUAAGGCUGCUUUAAUUAUUUUUUAAUUGUUUUUAGUAUGUUUUGUUAGCUUAGAUAUGAUAUUGUUUUAAUUGUUUGAAAUUGAAUAGCUCUAGGGCGUGUUUUCAAAAGAAAUUACCUGAUUUCAAAAUAUCGCGAAACAAGACAAAGCUUCCGCAACGAAAACGUUUUCAAAAUUUAAUAAGUGAUUUCAAAUGGAUAAAAACGAAAUGGUUUCUUCUAAACAAUCGCUCAGUUAAAGUGUGGCAAUGGUUGUGUGCAUGUCUAGGAGUGGAUCCGUGGAGAGCUUGGUACUUAAGCAGUCUAAUAGACUCACCUCCUCUUUUCUAGUAUCCUACCUGGUGCACAGCUCCCAUUCACUUUAAUUUAAAACGAAAAUAUUCUUUGAACACUAAGAAAAAAAUUUAGAUAAGACAUGAGUUUUCAGUUACGCUUUAAUGUGACACGUUGGAUUCGACCGUAAUAUAUGAGCCGGGUUUGGGGUGUUACAUUUAGUGGUAUUAGAGCCCAGUUGCAACAACUCGGCUGUGGAUCGGGUCCGAACGUUUUUCAUAAAAUUUUGAAAUCUAGUUCCAUGGAAAAACACUGAAAUCGAUUUUGUGGAAAUGUUAGAAAAUUAUUUUAAAUUUUGUUUUCAAAGUGCACAAAGAAUAAAUUUGAAUUUUACUAAGUGCACAAAGAAGUGGCACACUGAAUCCCCGGCACCAAGUCUGUAAGUACCUUUUCUGAACUUUACUAAGUAUUUGUUAUAUUACUGAGACUCUGCUAUGACAUUAUAGUUAGAGCUAGAGUGCACAGUAGAAGCAUAGUGGUUUGGCUUGAGUAAUACGGUUAGUUGAUAGUUUGAAAUUUCGAGGACGAAAUUUCUUUAAGGGGAGUAGAGUUGUAACGCCCCGAUUUUUGGGCCUGAAAGUAUUGGGCCUUGAGUCUGGGUCUGGGUAGAAGACGACCCGAAUAAUUUGGAUGUUAUUAUUAUUAUUAUUAUUUAUUAUUUCGUAUGUUUAGUUUAGUAAUUAAAUAAAUUACGAAGGGUUUAUGGUGUGGGAAAAGGUCCAGGGCUCGGCCCAUAGCUUUAGCAAAAUUCUUAAAUUUUGCCUCUUAAGGGAAUUUGGACAAUGGCCUUGUUAAUAAUUUGGGCUGAGUUUUAGCAUAAGCAGGCACCUGGCCCAGUGGCUAAGGACGCUAGGAGGGCGUGGGAGGUGCUUGGGUUCAAGGCACAGCGCGCGCAAAUUGGGUGUUUUAUUUUAAUAUGCAGAUGGCGGUUGAAAUAAGGGUUAAGAGGAAAUGCCAGCAUAAUUCAACACAAGGAGCGCCUGUGGCGCAGUGGCAGCAGCGUGCUGGGCACACAGAGAGGGGGCGGGUUCGAGUCCUUGCGCGGGUGAACUCCGUUUUAUUUUUGAAACGGGCCAGAACUGAAGAAGGUAAGGUUAUAAAAUAAUUGAGAGAGGAUUAUGUUAUGGAAGGAACCUCGGUGCAGUGGCAAGCAGUGUAUGUGUGUGUUUAGCAGGUCCUGGGUUCGAGAGGAACAGUAGGCAAAAUUUCUUUUUUAUUUCACAAGUAACCGGAGCUUCAGCAGGUAAGGUUUUAUAAAUAAUUGUAACCAUAUACUAGUAAAGAAUGAAGUGUGGUGCAGUGGCCAGCAGCACUGGCGUAAGUGUAAGGGUAGACGGAGGUUUGGGGUUCAAGUCUCACUUUGUUUUUAUUCAUAUUUUCUUUUCUUUUUCUUUUUCCCUCAUAGCUGAACCCAUACCCCUUUCUUUCUGUCUCUUCCCUUAUUUUACUUUCUUCAUUAUUUCUUAAAAGCCGAAUCUUAUUAUAGUCGAACCUCUAUUCGUUUCUUCCUUAAAAAGCUGAAACCUUCAUACCUGUGGUUUAGAAAGCCGAAUCUUUGGCUACUUGAACCUGUUUCUUCUAACUACAGUAGAUCGGGAUUAAUAUAAUAGAUAUGAGCAAUUUUCUGGGCUGAACAAUGAUUGGUAAGUUUAUCGAAUAAUUUCUGUUAAUUAUUUAUGAUUUAAGAUAAAAGACAGAACCCCUUAAGGGAGGCUAACGUUUGGACUAAGGGCGUUGGUGCCUCUUUCUUUUCCAUUGUAUAAUCAUUAGCGUGGACAAGGGGAUGUGCAGUGAAGGGUUUGAAGACUUCUUCGGAUUGGAUCUCUAGAUCUAAUCCAUAUUUCGGCAAAAAGGUAAGAACUCUAGGGUUAAGGGAUGUUGGCCGAAUUUGGUAAGGGGGAAUAGUACUUAGUUUGUUUUCAGUAUGUAGACUGAUGUUUAGUAACUCAAUUGUAGGCAACUCGUGAGUGGAUCUAUCCAGCGUACCAUUACAAAUCAGGUUUGUAAACGACACCCACUCAUAGACUAGAUUGGCAAAAGUCGAAAAGCUGAAAUGUUGAAAAGCCGUCAUUUUGUGAACUUGCGAGCGUGCGAUCGCUCGUGAGGUGGUUUGUUUGUUAAAUUUUGGUAAUCACAAGUGGUAUGAUUGCAGAGUGCGCAAUUUCGUGCACUUCGGCAUAUUUGGGCUUAAUGGGCCGAAAACGGGUUAGUGGGCCAACGGGCCCAAUUCGGUAAAAACACUAGGUAGGUGUUUUUGUUAAUGUGUUAAUAACUGUAAUGAGCAUGAAACCCUAAAAAUACUGAUAAAAUUACUGAAAUACAUCUGUAAGGUAGAAUUACCGUAAUACCCCUAAAGGGGUAAGUUUACGAUUACGCCCCUUGAGGGUAAAUAACUGUUCUUACGCUAUAAUCUGACUAUCUUUCUGAAGCAUGUCUUGUUAAUUAUAUAUAUAUAUAUUCUGCAUACAUGUCAUACUGCAUGGGGUUGAGUUUUGUUAUUGAGGAAGAACCCGUUCUAGUGGCUGUGCCACAUAUUCUGAUAUAAGCAGCUUUGCUGCAGAUUAUAGUUAGUGCCGCAACAGUUGCUAACACUGUAAGUGUAAGGAUGGCGUGGGUGAUUUAUUCUCCACAGGAAGUGUAGGGAUGGACGGAAGCAAGUGCAGGGUUGGAUGGGGUUAUCAUGUGUUAAUCAUAUGAGACUGUUUUGUUAUGGGCCAACUGUAUUGAAAUGGGCCCAACUGUAUUGAUAUGGGCAAGGCCCAAUAUAUCUCGACUUGUAAUAGGGCUACGGCCCAGAUUAAUACUGAUAUGGGCUAGACCCAGUAUACUUUGAUACUGUAAGGGGCUAUGGCCAGAUUAAUAUUGAUAUGGUCUAAGGCCCAGUUAGCCCUGAUUUCUGAAUAGGGGUUAGGCCUAGUAAAGCUUGAACUGAUUUGGGCUCUCGUUGGGAUACUUUACACACUGAGUUUUCUAAACUCACCCCAUUUUUUUCCCAUCUUUGCAGGUGUGCCUUAGAUCGGUGGACUUGGAGCUGGAGGGAUUCAGAGUGGCCAUGUGGAUUGUUUAAAAUAAGUGUUUAUACCUUCACUUUUAUUUUAGAUUAUUUCCUUUAUGUUUUCGGGUUUUUAAUUUGUAAUAAGACCGCUUUAAUUAUUUUUUAAUUGUUUUUAGUAUGUUUUGUUAGCUUAGAUAUGAUAUUGUUUUAAUUGUUUGAAAUUGAAUAGCUCUAGGGCGCGUUUUCAAAAGAAAUUACCUGAUUUCAAAAUAUCGCGAAACAAGACAAAGCUUCCGCAACGAAAACAUUUUCAAAAUUUAAUAAGUGAUUUCAAAUGGAUAAAAACGAAACGGUUUCUUCUAAAUAAUCGCUCAAUUAAAGUGUGGCAUGGUUGUGUUCAUGUCUAGGAGUGGAUCCGUGGAGAGCUUGGUACUUAAGCAGUCUAAUAGACUCACCUCCUCUUUUCUAGCAUCCUACCUGGUGCACAGCUCCCAUUCACUUUAAUUUAAAACGAAAAUAUUCUUUGAACACUAAGAAAAAAAUUUAGAUAAGACAUGAGUUUUCAGUUACGCUUCAAUGUGACAUGCUGGAUUCGACCGUAACGUCUGGGUCGGGUUUGGGGUGUUACAGAAGUUAAAAAAGUUUUUGGUUAUUUUUUUUAUUUUGGAAGUAGAGGGUUCAAAACGGAGAAAAAAUGGCUCUUUUCGUGUACUCCGACCAUUGUGGACGGCGGCCGCCACGGUGGUCCGGUGAUCGGACCUUGGCCGGAUGCUGGAAGAGGGGAUAGAGUUUGAGAGGUUUUUCCUUUGUUUUUUUUGAGAGGUGUUGAAAAGAGCAAAAAAAAAGAGUGUAAAUUUUGGUUUAAAUACUAGUACUAAAACGAUACUGUUUUGGGCUUUAUGCCCCAGAUGCAAAACGACGCCGUUUCAUCCCUACCCGCGUGUUGACCCGACCCGUCUAGGGGCAUCCACGUGUUUUGACCGAAUGGGCUUGUUGCACUUUUGGCCCUUCCGCUUUUUUAUCAAUUUGCAAUCAAGCUUCCUUUUAUUUGUAAUUCGUGCCCUAUAAUUUAUUUCAAUCAUCAAUUUAGUCCCACACAAAGUGACACGUUUUGGAGGGCAGGAAUAUUUAUUCCUCUAGUCCCUCCAUUUCAUUCGCGCACUGCAAUAUGGUCCUUUCCCUUUUAUUCCUCUCAGAUUUGCCCCGAAUUUUUGUUUUAAGUUCAAAUUGGUCCCUUUUUGUUAUUUUUGCUAUUUUAUUAACUGUUUAAUAUUAUUGUUACUAUAAUCAUAUUUUAUUUUUGUGCUUAUUUAUUUGCUACUAUCAUUAUAUUAUUAUAUUAGUAACUUUGUAUUAUUAUCAUUAUUAUAAUCAUAUUUUCUUUUUGUGUUUCUUUACUUAUUAUUACAUUAUUAAUUGAUCUAUUAUUACUAUUAUUAUUAUUUUCACUAUUACUAUUAUUUUCUAACAUUAUUAUUACUAUUACUAUUAUUUAUUUAUUUAUUUAUUUAUAUCAUUGUUGUUAUUAUUAUUAUUCCUGAUUUUAUUAUUAUUGGUGUAUUAUUAUUAUUAUUCUUCAUUUUAUUAUUAUUUUCUAUUUUAUCAUUUAUUAUUAUUAUUUAUUAUCAAUAUUAUUAUUAUCAUUGCUAUUUUUAUUUUCAUUACUAUCAUUAUUAUUAUUUACUAUUAUUUAUUAUCAUUAUUAUCACCAUUUCCUACUAUUAUUAUUAUUAUUAUCAUCAUUAUUAUUUAUUUGUUUACAUAUGUUUUAUUACAAAUUGUGUCUUUAACUUCAUUUAUCUUUUGAUUCUUUACUUUCAAUAUUUCUUUGUCUUUAUUAUAUUUCAAAACUGGUAUCGUCAUUUCAUGUGCGUGAUUUAUCAUUAGUGUUCUUGUCGUCAUCAUUGUUAUUAUUAUUUAUUUUGUUUUCCUUUGAUGGUUAAUACUGGAAUUAAAGUGAUAUGCAUUAUGGAUUGCUUAUUAGUAUAUUUACAUUAUUGCCACUUAUUUGUGUAACAUUCGAUUCUUAUGCCAUUUUUAUAUUACGCUAAUUCUUACUCAAAUACACAAAAAUAAAAUUUUUAAAAUAAGGCAAUAUUCUGUGUUUGGAGAUUUGAAAGAUCGUGCCCUAACUUAUUGGGUUUCGAUUUUUCUUUGUUCGACCUAAAUGACCGAAUAACCUUUUGAAAUUAAAACGCAUGAAUUUUGAAAAUCAAAAAGCAAGCUUAUUCUCGAGGUUUUAAAAUGCUGUGUCCUAAUUUAUUGGAUGUGACAUUUUAUUACUUCGGGACAAGAAGGUCUUUAACAUCCGUUUCGAUUGAUGCAAGCAAAUUCUUUGUAAAAAAAUCAACAUUAAAAAGAAAGGAUCGUAUUUUUAAUUCUUUUCGAGUUUUUAAAUUUUUACAUUAAGACAUUAAUUAAUCAAUUUGGUACCAAUUUUGGGCGUGACAAGGGUUCUAAUCAUUCCUUGCACGUAACCGACUCCCGAACCCGUUUUCUCAAAUUUCGUAGACAAAAAUUGUUGUUUUAGCAAAUCGAAAUAUUUUAUUAAAAUAACCAAAUUUCUAAGUGAUCUGAUCACACCUAAAUAAAAAGAUUGAUAGCGACUUCCAAUUUUUGUUUUCUUUUCAAAAUAUAAAAUUGAUCCGUUUUAAAAAAAUAGUUUCGAGAGUAAGAAUGUUAGAUCCAAUCGGUUAAAGUAUCCUAUCCCAUUGAAUUUCUAAUUUCCAGCCAAUUGGGUGACUCAUUCUGUCUCGAUUAUGGAUUGAAUAUACACGGAUCCCACAACCCUUUAAAUGACGAGAGUUUCCCACUGCCACAGUUUAGAAAUUCUAUUUUAAAGAGAAGUGACAUUUACCUCAUUUACUCUUAUCGGUUUGUCAUGUUUUGAAUUUGAUCUAUUGCAAAAACUUUCUGAUCUCAUGAUGAGUUUUAUUCACUAUGACACCUUCGUUGACAACAUCCAUCAUAUUUCUUUCCAUGGGUAGGAGUCAUUCAUAAAAAUAUUGGAUGAAUAAUUGUUCCAAAAUUCUAUGUUGUGAGCAACUACCACAUAAUUGCUUAAAUCUCCUAAUACUCGUGAAGAGUCUCCAUACCGUUUUGCUUGAUGCCGUAACUUUUUCCUAGUAGAAAUAGCACAUGACGUAAAAAAAAAUCCGAAAAUAAUCUUAUCAUGUCAAUCCAUGUAGUAAUAGAUCCAGGAGGUAGAUAAUAUAGCCAAUCCUUCACCUUGUUGGCUAGUGAAAAGGUGAAGUCUCUUAGUUUGGUUUGUUCUUUGAUCACUCAUUGUCGUCUCAUAAUAGAACACACUACACCACAUGAAAAUCAUUCAAGUGCUUACGAGGAUCUUUGUUUUUUUGACCACAAAAACUGUUAGUACAAAUAUCCGGUGAGAAAAAUCUCGAACACACGAACAGAACUCGAAAGAAGAAGAAAUAGGACAAGGCUCCAAGGCGUGUAUCAAACCACUUUCUCUAAGAUUAUAUUCGCCCCCACCUAUCUUUGGUGUACAAAUGAGUUCCAAGCAAAUUAACCUUGAUGAUACAAUGAAGCCAAUGACUAUUAGCGUUUUGUACUGACGAGAAUAGCCCACUACACACUGAGCAAUGUAUGACAAGAAACUCAAUUUCUAUAAAGGAUUUUUGCAGUAAUACUUUAUAGAAUAAUCUAAUGAUAUUAGAAAAUGAAGAAAGGAAAGAAAGAAUAUUAGAAUUUGUUGGUAUGAUUUCCAAAUGAAAUCUCAUUCUAUUUAUAGGAAUUUUCAUGUCUCUUCAUAAAGACAUCUUUCAUCAAUAGGUGUCUUUCUGAAUAAUAAUGUCUUUAAAAUAAACACAUAAUUAUUCAAUUAAUUAUAACUAUUCAAAUAAUAUUAUUUAAAUAGUUAUAAUUCUUUUUCAAAAAAUCAAAUAAUAUAAUCUUUUGAUUAAUUACACCCAUUCAUUUAUAGUUGUAAAUAUUUGAAAAUGUUCCAACAAAAAGUAGGCAAUAAAUGAUUUAGUCCAGAUUUUAAUUCAAAAGAUACUUCUAAUCCUAGAUAUUCAAUGCACAACAGUUGUUGCUUCAGAUUUAUUUAAGAGAGAAAUUGGUUAUUCUCCUUUUGAUUCGGUAGAUGAAUCGACUGAAUUGUUCUAUGUAUCUAGUUGGGUAAUGAAGAUGGUUGGUUAGUUCUUGCUCGAACUCUCUUCCUUAGUCUUCGAGCAGUUCUCUCAAACUCAGGAUUGUACAAGAGUUCACCUGCACGAGAAGAUUAAAAUUUUAAUUUUAAUAAAUAUAUUUAAUACUGAGAAAAAAAGAAGAUCAAAACAUAAAAAUGAACAAAAAUUAAAUUAAAUUAAAAACAAGAAAGAGAUAAAAUUAUUAACAUUAAUAUAUGAUAAAAAGGUUAAAAUCUGUACAAUUGUUGAGACCUAUAAAAAUAAAAUCCUACUAAAAAAUAUAAAUUUAGUACAUAACAUUGAGUAGAGUCGUAUUCAUAGAUAUUGAUAAUAACUUUAUUUUUAAAACAAAAACAAGGAAAGUAAAUAUGAUGGAGAUUUUAGAAAAUAAAAAGCUAAAUUUAAAUUUAAAUCUUAACCAAGAAGGCAAUAAUAAAAAUUAUCAAUGAGAUGGAGCUCUAGCCAAUUGUAAAAUAUCUGUUUGAUUCACAAGUUUAAUCAUUGAUGGAAAGAUAAUUCCAUUGUUCUUUAAUAGAUUAGUUCAAAGUUGCCAAUGUCGUACCUAGCAAUCAGUCUCUCCUUAAUUUAUCGAUAACCAAGAGAAAGCUGUUGAAAUUAAUCUUCUUAUCAAUGAACAACCCUAUAACCUCACGUUUAGAAUUUAACUUACCGAUAGAGUUAUAAACGAGAGAGACCUAAUUUUAACCAAAAAAACACACAAGUAGGAUUUAUUUAAAUUAGAUUGCAUUCCCACACAACAUUGAUUGCAUACACAGUUACAGUAUUUAAAUUAGCUCCAUUGGCCAUGGAUUCUACAAGUUGUGUUGACAUUGAUGAUUUUUUUUAUGCUAUUGGUGAUGUCUGUAUUGUCAAAGCGUCAGGUAGAAUGUAUAACAGAUGGCUUGACCAUUGCUGACUUUUACCAAUCCAGCAUGUUUUAAAACUUGGUGGUAGUUGCUGCUACUGGUUAUGUAUUGAGUUGCUGGGAUGCUAGUUAUGUUUUAUUCUGCUGUUGGAAACAUGGUUUGUUGUUGGGGAUUUUUUUGUUGUCAGAUUUACUAUGUUAUGGUUCCUGGUUUAUUGUUUGAUGACUUGAUGGAUGGACGCAGAAGUUGGAGAAAACAUAAGAGUAUAAAUUGAGUCAAAAGAUAAAAUAGUAAAGGCCAUUCUGUUUUAUUUUUCCAUAAUAUUAUACAAACAGUCAACCAUGUAUAUACACAUGGCACUGACAUGAUUGUGAAGGCCUACACACUUUCUAAUGGUUGUACUGGCUAUCAAAAUUUAUUACCAUAACAGUAGUACGGGUAAUGAAGCAGCAGGCAGCUCGUUAUUAUUUAAUUUUGAUAGCCUUAACUACCAGCAUAGCUUGAUGAAGAAGCAAAGGCAGUUAUGCCUCUAACUCAAAUGAUGCCUUCAUUGUGGGUGAACGGCUCACGGGAUCAAUUUCAAUAGAUGCAAUGUACCCAAACUUUGUAACUUUAAAUUUUGGUUUUCCUCUUUUCUCAAGGUUGGUUUUGAUUUGCCCCCAGUGAAUAGGUUGCCUUUGGAUAUCAGUAUAGACCU
RNAcentral lists this long non-coding RNA (47631 nucleotides) under Gossypium barbadense (sea-island cotton). RNAcentral's name for it is "long non-coding RNA (GBAR_LNC002996)". Lineage: Eukaryota; Viridiplantae; Streptophyta; Magnoliopsida; Malvales; Malvaceae. The record is from RNAcentral.